UUAAUGAAUCUACAUCAAAAUUUUAGUUGACUCGAUAUCUUUUUAUGAGGUGCUCUUCAUUUUAUUUGUUUUAUUUCCCAGGAAAUGGCCCAUCGUUGUUUUGUUUGCUAACAUGACUCUGUGAAGAGUGUAAUACUGUGCCUCUCCAGAUAUUUUAAAGAUUUUUUUCACCUAGUGCAAUACAAGAAUUUUGGUGCUUGAGCCUUGAGGGCAAAUUGUAGAUUCCAAUGUCAGUACCUCUUGCAUGUCUUAGCUUAGUUUCCAAAGUUGUUGUCCUUGAUUACUUGGAAAGUGUUCUUUCUAUUUUUUUUUUUGUUUUCCUUAACAUGUCCUCUUCUCAAGGUGCUUUUAAGGGUGCUGUUGCUCAUGCAAUGCUAUUGUUGGCUCUGACGGUCGUUUUUGCUUGUUAAGAUUACAAUCUUUCAUUCAGUGUAUUUUGGUUGGUGGCUUACUUUGCUCUAGUUUCUACUUCCAUCUUGGUUUGUUUAUGAAUGCAUCAGUUAGUGCCAAAGCUGGAAACUUCUCGAUGCUUCUUGCUGCAUGGAGGUCCAUACAAUCAUGCGCACCACCUUUUUCUUCUUUUUUUUUUCCCCCCUUUCUUUUUCGUUUUGGUUUUCUAUGUUCUUCUGUAAUUUGGAAAUCAUUUAGAGCCUCCAUCUGUUUGUUUGUUUUUUAAUCAAGUUCGCAUCUUGUGUCUAUGGCUCAACAUGUACUCAUCUCACAAGGUUUUACGCCCCCUCCAUCAGUGUUUACUUGAGGCUUCAGUGCAUGCGUACGUACUGCAAGUUUCAUCAUGUAGUUCCUGAGGAGAUCUGAUUUGAGGGAAAAUUGCUUAUAUAUCUUUUAUAAAAGUUUCUGUCCUUCUUAUUUAUAUCUCUGAGAAGGCUAAUAUUAAAGAUAUUUUUUUAACAUUUUAAGUUAUUUCAAAUAUAUUUUGAGAGUUGAAUUCUAUUAGUUAAAUGUUAGGAAUAAUCAUGAUCUUUGUAGAAUUACUAUUUUGUCUUUUCAAGUAUAUACUUCUACGGUCACCAAUUUUUUUUUAUUUGCUCGAGUUAUGGGUAAAAAAAAUAUUUUGAUUUUUUUGUCUUUUCAAAUAUAUUUUUCCAUCGUUAACAACUUUUUUUAUUUAUCCUUAAAUUAGUGGCAAAGGGUAGUUUGACUUCUUUUUUUUUUUAACUCUGGUAGAAAUAAUUUAAUUCGGGUUUAAUUCGAGAUGACUUAAUGAGUAUUAACAACAGUAUUAUUUUUGAAUAACGGAGAAAUAUACGGGAAUAUAUUUGAAACAAAAAAAAUAAGCGUAUAUAAGAUAUUCUAGAAGUUUUGAGGGGUAUUCCUUAAUUUUAAGUGCUUGUUAUUCAGCAGAAUUUUGUGUUAAUUCAAAUUUAGGGCCAUGGGUAUGAAAUCUGAUAGGAACCUUUGUAUGAUUGUAUCUUUGGGGAGUCUCAUGUUUCUUGCGAUUGCUUUCUUUCUCAUGAUAUAAAUAGUCAAACACACUUGCAGAUGUCCACUUUUUGAAGGCCAUCAUUUUCUCAUGUAGUUUUGUUAGAUUCUUGUUUCUCUCCUGUAACCAAAUUGACGAAUUCAGUAUCUGAAUUUGUUAAUCAAAUAUUUUUUCACUUAUCAAAUGAAAAUUAUUAUAAGGUGGGAACAUUGUAUUUCAGUUGUGGUUAAUUGGAGCUUCCUUAACCAAACAGUUGAGACUUGAGAAAUUGUAGGGAUCAUGAACUUCGUUGAUUCGAGUCUUUAGAACAGGCGCAUCACGCAAGAGUGGUGAAGCUUCUUAGAAUGGGCUUCUGAACUUACCCACCUUAGACCCAAUAUUUAUAUACCUAUAUUUGAUUGAAUGAAAUUUAAGAUUUCAUUAAAGAAAAAUGAAAUUUUUAUGUGUAACUCAUAACAAAAUAAACAAAGAGCGGAAAAAAAAAAUUGUCUUAUUUUUUCACAAGUAUAUAUUAUCUCUCUCCACAAAAAGCAAUCAAACUCCUUAUUUCUCCACAAAUUGUAAUUAAAGGGUCUUCAUCUCCCAAAAGGAAAAUAAUUAAGUCUUUCUUAUCUUCCAUACAUAUUAGAAAUUUAACAAAAUCUAAAACUUUUUUUCUAACGUAUAUGAAAACUUGAAAGCUAAAGUAGGGAAAUGUGAUAUUGGGAUUUGCAGAUUAGGAGAAUGAGAUGUUAAAAAUUAUUAUUGAAAUUUAAUUUAUUAACAUAAAAUACAUUAAAAAUUCGGAUAUUGGUAUCCAUAUUCAUUUUUCUCGGAUAUUUAGAUAAUUUUGACUUUCUAAAACCAUAUAUCCAACUGGAUCCGAAUAUUUUCUAUCCGGAUACGAAUAAUAUUGGAUAUGGACACAAAUAUUUUCAUAUAAUAUCCUAUCCGUCUUCACCCCUACCCCAUUUGGAAUUGUAAAAGUUUUCUGUGUAUAAAUAUGAUGCAAAUAUGAAUCCCAAAUUAUAUGUCUCGUCAUAAAUAAAAUUCUUAAUAAAGCAUAAUGGAGCUUGAUAAAAAAAAAAAUAAAAGAAUCCAAUAACAGUUUGUUGGAAAUAAUAAUCCAAACUUAAUUAAAAUAUAGUUAGAAAUAAGUUUAAGUCUUUUAUUUGAUUACGAUUAGAAUUUGUAGUUAUCCAAUUAGGCAUGUGUUAAUUAGAUGAAGAAGCUAUAGUAGAUAUGGCUGCAUGGGUAUUACCCAGGAUGUAAUUAUUUGUUUUUUAUUAAUUUAGUAUUAGUUUAAUUUUCUUCUUCCUCCUCUAAUAUAUCUUCUUCAUAUUAUUUUGUUCUAUUUAAAUCUUGGGUUACAUAAUCAGUAUCAGCACAAAUACCUGUUUCAACAAGUGGUAUCAUAGUAAACCACGCUUCCAACAAGUGGUAUCAGAGCCGAAAAUAAGUCAAAUGACAGCAGAUUCGAAAAGAAUAUAGAUCCAAUGUACUAAAUAGCUAUGUCAAAGUCAAGCGACUCGUAGUAGAUUGACGAAGGUGACGUUCAAGUGAAACCGAAGGAAAGAAUCGCUUCGAAGAAGUUCGCCUCCACACAACACACAAGAGAAAGUGGUUAUGACUCUUGACGAAAAAGAGAGCAAGUAGAGCCUGUGAAGAGAUCAAAAAAGAUUUGACCAGAUAGCCUGAAGGGCUAGGCAAACAAGCCGAAGUACGAAAACCUUAGCUAGAUCUCAAUAGAACGUCAAUACAUCAAAAAGGUACAUGUUUGAAACUUAAUUUUUUAAUUUUUAAGUUUCGUUAUGGAUUUAGAUGGUUUUUCAACCUAAUUUACCAAAGUUCGCGUCUGUGAGACUAACUGAGAGCACCAGUGGAUUGAUCUCGACGAAGCGAAGCCUGUGCUCACUGUCCAGGGCAAGAAAAACUACCGAGGAGUGCUCCGGAGCCAAGAUUACAACAAUCUAAUAAAGGCCUCGGGAGUGACAUUGCAAAAACAACGAGCCGACGGUUCUCCGACAGAAACCGAGGUGAGCACGGUGAUCAACGAUGACUCUAGAUCACCAUGCUCACCUUCCGUAGAGUCGGGGGUUCCUGGAUGGCUGGAAUAAUGAGAUGGGCCAAAAACACCCUAUUACCGGCAUUGCAGGGAGCUACUAGCUCCUGCCGGCCACUGGCCGCGGGCUCGCGACCCAGGGGUGAGUGCGGAGGGGGAGGGGAGUAUCGUGCUCACCUUAGCUGGUGGCGGGGACCGGCGGCGGCGGGGCUAGAGAAGGCUAGAUCCAACUCGAGCUAGAGCUCAACCUGGGAUGUGCUUCCCAGCAACAACGGCUGUCGGGGAGGCAAGCGGCGACGGCAGCAUGUCCCCCACGACCGGAAGGAGGCAGCGGCAUUUCUCACGGGCAACAGCGGUGGCGGCGCUGUGAAGAAGCGCUACUAUCUCUGCCUGUACCCAACCAAAGAAGGCCGCAGUAGCCUCGGCGGAGCUCGGCGACUACGAAGGUUGCCGGGAAGGGAUAGCCAGUGUCCAGGGGUGCCGGAGGGGAGGUCUGCAUGAUGCUGCCCUCCCCUCAUGGUUGCCAAGCCCAAAGAGUAAGGGAUAGGAAGAGAAAACCUGAGAGAGGGAGAGGGAGUGUUGCUUGCAGCAAGUUGGCCGACUGGGAAGGGAUCGCCAACAACCGAGGACGAGCACGGUGUUGUCAGAGGAGGGGAAGCGCUGCUGCCUAUGCCUGUACCCAACCAAGGAAGGCCGCAGUAGCCUCGGCGGAGCUCGACGGCUACAGGGGGGUUACCGGGGAGGGAUGGCCGGUGUCCAAGGGUGCCGAAGGGGAGGUCUGCACGAUGCUACCCUCCCCUCGUGGUUGCCCAAGCCCAAGGAGUAAUGGAGAGUGAGAGGGAACCUGAGAGAGAGAGAGGGAAAGUUGCUUGCAGCAAGUUGGCUAACUGGGAAGGGAUUGCCGGCAGUCGAGGGUGAGCAUGGUGUUGUCAGGGAAGGGAGAGGAGGCGACUAGGGCUCGAGAAUGGAGAGAGAGAGGCUAGGGCUAGGGUUUGGAAGGAGAAAACCCUAAAUGCAACUAUAUACAUAGAAGUAUAAUUGCAGAAAACCCCCUCAAAAACUCCAAUAUUCAAUCUGAGUCCUUCAGGGCACAUGUAAAACACGCGAAUGCACCUCCUCAAGCGGUCUCUCACGUUUCGAUAUAUAAAAUAUUGGGACUUUCAUGAAAAAAGCCAAAAUACCAUAUCGGCCCUUCCUCAAACAACACGCGAUUUCGAACGUUCGGUUAGCCCGAUUUACGAAACGGAUUGUACCAGCAAUUCCGGCACUACCAGUGUGAGGAUUUGGCUCCCCGACACUUCGUAUCACUUUUGGUCAAAAUGACCAAAGCGUGGCGAGAGGGAUGAUUGGACAUAGUCUAUACGUUGUUCCGAUAAUGUCGGAAAGGUUAAAGUUAAGUUCCGAAGGUGUUUAGCUGAUUUUAACAUUGUUCGGCAUGAAAUUGGGCUUAAACACUGCUAAAACUGCAGUCUAGGCACUUGGUACCGGUACUGGCACUUGGUACCGAUACUUGGCAAUGAAGCAAAGAAAGUCUGCUCUCGGGUUUGGGAGAGCUGGGCGGCGUACUGGUACUGAUGGUCGAGUACCGGUACCUGAUAAAUAACCCGAGAAGGGGUUGCUCUCUAGUUUGGCUGCUGCAAAGCAGGUUACCAGUACUCGGGCCCGUGUAAUGGUACUAGGGCACCCGCGUGCCGGUACUCGGCCCCGUGUACCGAUACCCGAUGGCCUGCGUAGAAAGGGGUGCUCAUCCACCCGAGGGUAUCGGUACUCAAGCCCGAGUACCAGUACCUAGUGUUGCGAACAGCAGGUUGUGAACUGUUGUAAUUUUUAAUGGUUGGAGGACUUAAAUGCAAUUGUGGUGGCUUAUAAAUAACCCCAACCUCCUCCAUCUCUGUAUACAUGCAGAAAAUACCCUCCCCCACCCUCAUUUAUCUAUUUUUCUCCUUCUCUCUCUCUAGACAUCUCUCCAAGAAGGCUAUUGGAUGAGAUUUGAAUGUGAUUUAGGGCUUUUGGAGUGGGGGGAGCUCUCCUACAAGGUGGAGCUUGGAGUGCUAGUUGGCUAAGGUGAGGUUUCUUGCAAGAUCUUUGUUAGCGUUUGGUUUUAUACCCUAAAACACUUAUUUUUGAACUUCUUACAAGAAUGGGAACCUAGAUAACCCUAGGAAUCUCAUGAUGAACACAUGGUGUUCAUGGUAUGAAACCCUAGGGUUGGAAUUAGGGUUUUUGUAGAAUGAGGGUUUAUGGUUAAAUUGAUCCUUUGUAAACAUAAUUGAAGGUAAAACCGACGUGGUGGGUAGGGCUGUAAACGAGCCGAGCUCGGCUUGAAUGUCUUUAGGUCGGCUCGUGUUCGGCUCAAGCUCGUGACGAGCUCGAAAACUCCAGCUCGUGAUUGGCUCGCAACUUAAUCGAGCUAGCUCAAGGCUCGUUAUCUCGAUUAUUCCACUCAAUCUCAUCGUUCUCAUCGUUCUUCCACUCAUACCCUAUAACGAACCCCCCGAUUACCCCACCCCGAUCCCGAUCCCCACAACCAACUGAUGAUACCAAAAAUUACAGAAAAAUUGGGGCAAAAAAACCUCGAGCUCGGCAUAUUUCAUGGCGAUGGGGACGUAGAUGAGGAAGAUCCGGCCAUGGCGAUCGCCGUGUUACGGCACCAGUGCUUGGGGCGGCUGUAGGGUCCCCCCGUCAUGCUCCACACCUUCUUCCUGAAAUCCCCCUGUCUCUCCGCCAUGGCCAUGCCCGUGGCCGUGGCCUCCGCCUCUGUGGUGAUCACCGCCGCCGCUGACGCCGCCCAUGGCUGUGUGAAGUGUGAAAACACAUGGGAAAAGGGAACUAGGGUUAGAAAAUAGGAAUAGAAGGACUUAAAGGUUGAUGCAAUACUAACCAUUAGAUUUUAAUCCAACAGUUAAAAUUUUAAAUAUAAAUGGGCCCAUGGGCCUCUUUUAUAAAUAAAUAAGCUCAGCUUUUUUGUAAAGUUGGGCUAAAAAUUUAAAAUUAAUAAUCAGUAUUAUAUAUUUAUAUACAAAUAUAAUUAUAUAUAUAAUAUAUAAAAAUUAUAUUAAUAUAAAAUAAAUAUAAUCGGGCUGUUAUUGAGCCGAACACGAGCGAGCUGACCCUAGCUCGUGUUCGGCUCGUUUAUUAAACAAGCUGAAAAAUUCAGCUCGUGUUCGGUCUCGUUACUAAACAGGCGAGCCGAUCAGUCGAGCUUCAUUUCAAGGUCUGAACACUGAGGAAGCUCGGCGAUCAGCGAACUGGAUUGCCACCCCUAGUGGUGGGCAACUCAAAUCGGGGUUCCUACGGGUGUACGGCGAGCCGUUGAGGAAAACUACCAUUUCUGGUUCGUUAGUGUUGGGUCCAGACAAAACGACAUCCAUAAAUCGUGUGGCUUGGAAUCUCUCCUCUUAGCAUCAAGCCAAGGUGGGGGGUGCUAUCCGAAACAAUCGGAUUUCCUUUUAUGUCUAUGUUGCUAUCAUUGAGCAUAUAUGUACAUAUGUUGAUAUCAUACAUUAUAGGAUAUAUGGUUAAAUGUAUUUCAAUUCCUUACAUGCUCUCAUGGUAGAGAUAAAAAACAUGAGUUGGACACAUGAUUAGUGGAUGCAUGAGGAUUGGGUCUUGACAUGGAAUCCUAUAGUGCCAAGAACAAAUGUGAACUUGAACAAUGUAGUGACAUAACAAGGGUGGCAUUUGAAACUAGUGUAUAGAUGACACUUAUGACAUGGAUAUUGGGAUUGGUAGAUCCCCGAGUGUGUUGUUAUCCCUAGUUGGUAGGGUAUCCUAGAGCUUAAAGGAUUGGAUCAUACUCACUUAGUCUGUUUUAGCUUGGUGGUGGUCGCUCCACCCAAGCAGUGGGCUCCGGAGUUGUCACAGAUUGGGUGUACCUACCCAUCAAACAGUUUCGAGUGGGUAUAGCGUGGAGUCUCCUCACCUAUGGGAUUUGGUUGUGAGUUGGGCUUAACCUUCGGGUUAGCCAGUGUGAUUGGGUUAUAAGUAUAUGAAUGACAUGCAUCAUGAGCAUAGUAAUUACCUUAUUCAUAUCACGUUGUUGAGGCAUAGUAGUAUGUUAGCAUUUCUUAUCCUUAUGUAGAUAUCUCUACUUAUGCUUACUUAGACCUAGUUGGAAAAUCGGCGGCGUCGGCGGCCGAACCCACUGGAAACUUUCGUUAGUUCUCAUCCAACUUUAUUGUAGGGCCUAGCACGAGCGGCGCGGUCGAGGAUUGCAGUAAGGGCAUAACGCCCUAGGAAGCGGACUUCCUUUUCAUUAGUAUACCUUGUAUAUACCAUGUGAGAGCUAUGUUACAUUUUGGAGAGACUAUGUAGUGAUGACAUGAUGUAUAAACUAAAGAUUUGUAUUUUGGUGAAUUGUAAAAGGAUGAUUAAACAAGUGAAUGAAUGUAAUAAUUUAGUUAAAUUUCUCUCUUGCUCUUGUGGUUUUCUCUCGCGCUUAUCAUGUAUGUUGAUUAUGUUUUACCUGGGCAAACUAGAUGUACAUUAUGUUGUUGAGUCUUGGGCGGAUAGUGAAAACCUUGUCUGUUCGGCAGUCCGCACACGAGCCCGAACUAACCAAAUUGGCGGUUGCGAGGCGUGGCGCAUGACAGCCAGACCAUCAAAUCAGUGAUUUUGUUUUGCUCGAAUCGGUAGCCGAUUCACGACGAAACCAAUCCCUCUCUGCCUCCACAACCAAAUACCUAUAUAUAUAUAUAUGUAUAUAUAUGUAUGUAUAUAUAUGUAUAUAUAUGUAUGUAUAUAUAUGUAUAUAUAUGUAUGUAUAUAUAUGUAUAUAUAUGUAUGUAUAUAUAUAUGUAUNNNNNNNNNNNNNNNNNNNNNNUAUAUAUCCAUAUAUAAUCGAAACCUAAACGAGGUAGAAAAUGCUUUGGUUCGUACUACGAACAUGAUUUUAUCUAUAUUAAGUCUUUACAAAAAACUUUACAAUACAUGUAAUAACUUUAAAAAAGAACUCGUAGAUAGAGGUUGAAUUAAACCGUAAUACGAUCACUUUGUAGAAUUUUCGUAGUAAAAACGAGUUUCAAAAGAAUAACUAAGGUCGUAUAUGUAUAUAAUUGAUCAGUAUAAAGUUCUUUAAUGUUUUCUUAAAAAACAAAGAGCUUGAAUUAAAAAGUUUCUCGAAUAAUAACGAAAUACAGGAGAAGACUAUUUCAUCUGUGUUAAUUCCCUUAUGAUGUCGUUUUGUACUACGUGGAAAGUACUUGGCUUGUUUGAAAAAGUCGUACUACUAUUUUUUCUCAACCUCAUAAAUAAUUAAACUUACAAGCGGAAUCACGUACGUAUGGUCUUUGGUUUAACUAGGUGUAACUUGUAAACAUCGAUUGAAUCAAAAGUCAUAAUUACCUUCUAGUAUUUAAGAUACGUAACACGGGAAUAUCGUGUGAGUGGAAAGUUUAACUUAAGAUGGUCGACUAUAAUAUGCCGUACUUAUCAAGCAAUCAGCGAGUUCCGCGUAGUCACCUAUGGCUGUAGAUAGCCACCGGUAAUUUAGUAACCGCUGUAUAUGUACUGUUCAAGUUACGUGUUAGCAGACUAAGAGCAUACAUACAACUAAAAUGUAAGUGUACUAUUAGGAGUUUCAAUAUAUUAUAUAUAUUCAAUUAAUUUACUUAUUUUGAUUGUAGAAAACAAGAGAUCUUCACAGGAAAACCAACAUUAGAAUGUUGAAUAUGUAGAUUUUCGAUUAAUUGAAAAAAUGAGAUCAGUAUAGUAAGAGAAAAAAACUAUGAUUUUGGGUUUUUCCCGACAUAUUUGGGAUCCCCCUCCUAAUGUUGGAAUCUAAUCCCCAACAUCUGGAUGUUGUAAAAACCGAACAUCGAUCCAAAUCGUAAAGAGAUAUUAUCUUCUUUUACGGACCAAUGACGUACUUAUUAUAAUGAGGUUCAUGACUAUUAUAAUCGUACGUAAUGUAAAAUUAAAUAUAAUCAAUUGAUUGUACUAUGAAUUAAAGAGUAUUCAUCGUACUAUCCUAUAUAAUUAUGAGAUAUACAUCCUCAAUACAAUGAAAUAAGGUGAGUUUAUAUCAAUAUUAGAAAGUUGCACACUUCCUGCCCUAUAAUUUGUAGUUUUGAGUAGUGAACAAAACAAAACUCGGGCUCAUUACGUUACUUUAUCUUAUAUAUUAGGUAUACCAGUAAAGAAAGAAAACAGUACGUAGAUCGAUAAUAGUGUGUUCGAAACUAUCGGUGUUUCCGUGCUAAUCACUGACUUUAUCAAAAUACAUUACAAGAUUAUUAAUUUGUUAUUUAAGGAAGCAUUUUUUAUUUUUUAUUCAUGUGUAUUACUCUCAAGAUUUAUUAUAAACUAAUGGAAUUGGUUAUUUCUUCCGUUUAAUUAAUCUUAAUAUUAUAAUUAUAUAUAUGUUUUCACGUUGAUAUACAUAUAUACUCACAUAUGCAUACGUACGCUUGAUCAUCCAUUCUUCCUCGGUUAAAUCACUGAAGCCACUAGUAGUAUAGUAUAGUGGCAGUGUCCAUACACCUUAAUAUAUACGUGGUUGUGUAUAAUUACGAGUACGUAUAUACCAGGGUACGUACCCACAAGAGAAAACCAAAUUAUAUAUCCACCGAAUGUAAGUUCCCUUUUAUCUUCUCUCUCUCUCUCUCUCUCUCUCUCUCUCUCUCUACUAAGGUGUUGCGCACGUAAUUUAAAUCAGAGUACGAUACGGUAGUAGUUAACAAAAGAGUAUUAUAUAUUGCAUAAGAGAGAUGCGUUCCCUUUGUUUAAUUGACGUUUUUCCAAGGACACCGUAUCGUACACACAAAAGUACGUGUAACCACCAUCAUUUCAAGCAAAAAUACUGCAUCGUAUAUAGGACCCCAAAGGUAAGGGUAAAAGGUUAAACCUAACACAAAUCAACUUUAAAACUAGGUUUUAUUAGAAAUUUUCUUUUCCCCUUAGGUACCAAGGUUUGAGCCGUGUUAAUUUCUAAACUCCACUAUCAUUCUUUCACGUAACCUAAAGACUAAUCCUUUUUUUUUUUAGAUAUUAAAACAAUGUUGAAAACAAGUACACGUAACACCUCCCCCUCUACCAAUUUUUCUUCCAGGAAGGUGGUGAUACCUAGUCAACCGUCUAUGGGAGAAAAAACUUAUCAUUUAAAACCUAAACUCACAUGAGAAGUUCGUCCUCACACACAAGCAGUGCUUUCGGAUCAAUGUUCGCUACAAGUUUGUUAAUUACCUUUUUUUUACUUCAGCUAGGCAUUUUCUAUCCCUUAUGUAUCCUACAAUUUACAUUAUCCUUCUCCUUACGAUGAACAUGUUCGUUAUUCCUCCACAUUUAGAAUGUUGAGAGAUGUAUAGGUUCCUGGUUAAAACGUGUAAAAGCCUUAAAAUUAUAAUUUACGAAAUUAUAUUCGUUAAAAAUCAAAGACCCAAAUUUUUAAUAUGGAUUUGAAGUAGUUUAUCAAAUUAUCCGAGGAUUAAUUAUUAGAACUCGUUUAAAUAUUAUAAACUUGUCAACAAAGCUAACGUACAGAACAUAUAUUAAGUUUCCUUCUUCUUUGGAAAAAAAAAAGAAGAUCGAUAUAUACUGUUAAUUUGUAAUUAUAACUUUUUAUCUCACUUAGAUGCAAGUUAAAAAUAAUAGAAAAUUACACAAUGUUAUUUUUUCUAAUCUCAAAAAAAAAACACAAACUUCUGUAAUGUCCUAUCAUAUAUAUGGAGUUUUACUGAUAAGUUAAUCAGUGAAGCGAGUUCCUCUUUUUUUUUCUCCAGAAAUAACAUCAUCAACGUGUUGUAUCUUAUAUAGUGUUUGGUUUACGUACGUAGCUACGAAAUAUCCUACUGUUUCUCAGAUUAAUACUCAUUAUUAAAUAUCAUUGUAUUAUAAAAUUUUUAUAAAAUAAUAACAUGAGCACACGUAACACCUUCGUAAAAGAUCGAGCCUAUAAAAAUAUUAAGAGUACACCUGAAACUGCCUUUUCUAAUGGAGACUCCUCUCCCUAGAUUUUUUCACAAUUAUCCUGUUCACACGUUUUAACUAGGAACUUAAUUACCUCCCCCGCAUUCAAAACGUGAGUGAAAAAAUACGCAUGUGCAUCUUAAAGAGAUUUAUAUUUAUAAUUUUUAUAAGAAAAUUUAUUUUUUGCCAGCAUAGUAUAACAAAUUGUACCAUAAUCUCCUAUCGCAGUUUAUAUUUAUAUUCCUUGUAACAAGAAAUCAAUCAUCGAAUUUAAAAAUUUUUAUUUGCUAACAAAGUAUAAUAAAUUGUUUUUCUGGAAUCUCGCAACAGCAUAAUCAUGUUUAUUUUAACAUCCGGUAGGAUCGUUCUUGGGUGGUAUAGAAAAGUCUCUUUACGAUGAACUUGUCGGUGUUGACCCCGGAUUUAGAAUGUAGACAACUAGGUUCCUAGUUAGAUAGGUUCCUAAAUCUGAAAUCUCUUUGAGAAAGCUUAAAAGUUAUAAAAUUUUUUUUUCGACUCUUCCGAUCGACCACAUUUUUAUAACCUGGAACCUAUCAACCUACCUAUCGCAUAUUUUAAAUGUGGGUGAAAAAUUUAUAUGUGUGUCGUAACGUGUAGAAAAAGAAAAAAAAAAACUCUCUAUCUAUCGUGCGAUAGGCGAGGCAAAUAAAGUAAAUCUUUCCUAUUUUACGUCAUCUCGUGACGAUAUAAUAUAUAUAAUUUCAAAUUCAAACUUCAAUUUCAAGUUCUAGGUAUUAUAUCUGUAAGAACUAAGAUUUGGUAGCCUAGCUAAACUCUCUGUUGAUGAUGUUUUUGUGUGUAAUUUAAUUACAUGAACACUAGUCAAGUUUCAGGAGAAAACGAGUUAGGAUGGAGAAGUUACGCAACCUUCACUAAUCACUUAAAGUGAAUAGUAACUUCGAUUUUUUGGAAAGGCCAAUCAGUGGAGAUGGCUUCGGGUGCGUAUCGGACUCCGUUCAUAGUGAUCCAAUAGUUCGUUUUCGAUGGUUCGACUGUCCUGAACCCAAUGGCACUAACGGAUUUGGGUUUUGAUGCACGAUUUUCGAGAAAAAGGGAUUUUAUCACAAAAAGAGGUUUUUGUUAAUUAGAGAGAGAAUGGGUUCCGUCACAAAUCGACGACCUAAUCUGGUGAAACAAAAUAGUAGUUUUGAUGCCCCAGUCGUAUUGAACGCGCUGGCAUGAUCCGAUCAAAAAUCUGACGGACGGAUAGCUAGAUAUCUCGCGUUUACCGAGGAAUGGUCAAACUGAUCAUUUUCGUAUUUCACACGAAACCCUCUACAUAUUAUGCGCGGAAUUUCGUGAAAGUUGGUGGGCUGUGGCCCGAGGCUGUCAAUCACUCAUGGUCAGGGUCUCGGUUGAAAAUAUUGCAAUUUGAGAGAGUUACACGCGAUUUACUCGUCGCUAUAUAAGUUAGUUUCUAGGGUUUCAUCAUGGAAACCCUAACCCUAGUCUCUUGCAAUCUCGGCUAAGCCCUAGCCGUCGACCCCCCUCCUCCUUCUCAGCUCCCUGCGUGCAGCCGCCGCCGCCCCGCCGACCAAUCUCGGCUUGCCGGAGGGGCUGCCGAGCGCUCCAUCUCCAUCUCUCUCUCUUCCUAUUGGGUUGGAGAGAACGCUCAUGGCUGCAUUGCCUCCCUGCUCCCCGCCGGCGUCGCCCCAACCCCGCCAGAGCUUCCCCUGUUGGUUGUCGUCGCCCCCGCGCGCCGCCGUUGUCACCCUAGUAGCUUGCGGCCAAGCCGAGCAGGCUCGGGCAGAGGCUGCUUCUUCUCCUAGCCCGCGCGCCAUCGCCGCUCGGGACCACCAUGGUCGUCCACCCCGGCCCUCGACGACUCCCGUGCGCCAUAAUCGCCGUCCCCGUAGGUCGCCGCAACCUCUCUAGCUCCCUGCGACCGCUUCUGUGUAGCUCGAGCCGGUGCGGCCGAUCCUCGCCGCACUGCCUCCUUGGCCGCCGGCCACGCCUCCUUCCCUCGACUCUAGAGGUUGGCCACACCCCUUCCCUGCUUGCUUUGACCAUCGCCAUGGCCGAAGAAGUGAGGCAGCCCAAGGUGGGGGCCGUGCGGGCUCGACUUCUCCUCGCGCCGCCACUGCCACCUUACGCCGCCGGCCAGCAGGAGCACCGGCUCCCCCUGGUCAUCCGGACUCGAGUGCAGCCGGCGGUCCCGCCGCUAGAGGCCCCUGUCGGCCGGGCUGGACUUGAGCUCCCCAUCACCUUGUGCGGCUAGGGCAUCAUUACCCGCCACCGUCACCGCUUUCCGUCGCCAACUGACGCGCACCCCGACCUUCCCCUGUCAGCCGCAUUCACUUACUGCCGGUGCGCCGGCCGCCUGGCGGCCACCGGCCGUGCCAUGGCCCCCCAUUGCCCGGUAAGCUUUAUUAUGCUGUUUCGUGUAUUGUUUAUGGUUCAAAUCGCAGUUACAGCAACCCGGGGCUGUUCCGAUGCCUCUGGAGGAGAGCACGGUGAUCGCCGGUCAGUGCUGAUCACAGUGCUCACCUCAUUUGGGGUCAACGAGCCCCGGAUUGGGAAAUUAGACGUCUUUUAGUUUCAGCGCGCAGUGUUCGCUAAAUUUUGAGUCGCUCCUGCGCCUCCCACGGUGGACGGCCAUGCUCCAAAUCAUGAGCACGGCCUCCGGCACGUCGAGACUUGUCAGAGGGUGUCUCGGCUAGGCUCGAAAGUCCUCGGUUUGCGUUGUCGGGCCUUAAAACCUCGAAAAUCAUAUAAAAUGAUGUGAUUUUAUGUAGUCGCAGGGGCUUAAUUACAAAUUUACAUUUCGUGGUUGUUGUGGGCAAUGUGUGCGGGCAGCGGGUGACCUCUGGAUUGUUUGUCUAGGGCCCCAGGCCUUUUUGGAAAUCAGAUGUCGAUUUUCGUUGCGUUUUUUGGCGAAAUCUGUCGAUGGAACGCGGUUUUAGUUAGGAAUUCUUCCGACGAUGCCUCACGGAAAAUUAUAUUAUCAUUGAGCCUUGUUGGCUGGUCUCUCACGUCGUUUCGAGGGUUCAAAAAUGACGGGUGAGCGACGGUGGGUUUCGAUGUCGAAUCUGACACUUCCGGGAAUCCGGAUCGGAACGAUUAUCCAACAAUAAUCGUUUCGAUGUGAGGAUAUGUGUAUGUGUUUGCUGCCAGGUCACACAAAUUAUUGUGUUUAGUGGCAGCGGGUGACUCGUGGCACGAAUCGGUAAAUUCCGUGACAGUUCGUGGGCCCCGGCGGAGUCCCGAUGCGAUUUUCGGGACUCCCGGCGAGUUACGGUAAUUGAUUUUGGGAAAUCGAUUCUCGUGGGUUUUACAGGUAGGAUUGUGAGUUAGUGGUUCUUAUUCGUGGGUUGGAUUCUAACCCGAUGAACCUUUCGUAGGUCCGGUUAACGUUCUUCUGCAGACGGGAGACAGGUGCUACAUACGUACAGGUGGGUACUUUGACCUGAAGUCGGUACAGUGGUGCACGCUCGGUGACAUCCUCUCUAUCCAUUCCCUCUUAUUAUCUUACAUACUAUGUGUUGAGCCUGGCACCCAUAUUAUAUCAUUUUGCUCUACUUAGUUUCUUUACAUACUCAGCAUCAUGAUUUAGAAGUAGAGUGGCUUUGUGUUCUUAAGUGAGAUCUGUGACCUAGUCGGUCGACUUCUUGUAUCUCGUAUUAUGACCUUUUCGGUCGGUUCAUUGCAUCUGGUAUUGCGACCUACUUGGUCGACUGGACUACUUAAUGACUUAUACAUUUGGUAUACUCUGAGGGAUUGGAUUGUCGGCUAGUUGCUAACGGUUGGCUAUUGAGCAUAUCAGCAUCGAUCGUCACUGCUUGUACGCAUUUCACGAACACCAACGGUCUGAUCCACCGCAAGAGGGUAUUUUUUUCUAGAAAAGUAGUUGGGAGUUCCAGCCUGUGAGACUCGGGUGCUUUAUGCGAGGGUUAUAUGCUUUCAGAUUAGGGUGCUUUAUGCGAGGGUUAUAUGUUUUCAGACCCGAAUGCUUAUGCGAGGGUCAUUUACAGGUUUGAGCAGUUGUGGCACAGGCUUGAGGUCUGCGGACCAACAAAGCAGGUUUCUGAUUGGGUUACUUUUGAACUUGUCGUCCGGUUGAUGCAUACAUUCAGUAGCGGUAGUGAUUCAUAUAUAUAUAUAUAUAUAUAUAUCUCGUUUCCUUAUUUAUCAUUGCUAUUGUAUUACCUUUAUCUGCACUUUUGUUUAUCCUCCUUGACUGGUGAGUACCCUCGCUCUCGUCGGCUUGCGGUACCCACUCGGAGGGGAGACAUGUGUACAUGUUCUCACCCCCCACCCCUCUUUCAGGUGACGUCGCGGGUCCGAGUCGGGACGGUGCGCGAGGAGCGUUCCUAGUGAUUGAUUAGAACUCCUGCCUCAGUGGAUUUUGGUUAAAUCUCUUAACUUGCCAUUUGAAAUAAAUAACUUAGAUAUACUGGUUCAGUUGGUUUACUUUAUUUGAAUUCAUGUGGUUUUUGGAAUAUAAUAAAGGAUUUAUGGCUUUCUCCUGAGAUGAAAACAGUUUUCUACCCCUCGUGGUAGCGUGUUUUAAAAGAAAAAGGUUUCCGUGUGGAAAAUGGUUUUAAAAAGGUUUUCGUAGUUUUAUGAUUCUUAGUAUUUUAAAAUGAGUUUCCGGAUAGGAAACAUUUUAAACUGAAAAAUGUGAAUUUAUGUAUAUCUGUGAUGAAACGAAUGUGAAUGUAAAUGGUGAAUGUAUAUGAAUGUUCAUAUGUUUGUGGUUGUAUCUUGUACUUGUGCAACGCCGUGCAAAUAUAGGGGAGACUGUCCGUGUGAACAGUGAAUUUUCUGUAUUUGUGAUGGAUCUGACAUACUCUGGGGUCAAGAUUUGAAAAAAAAAAAAUUUAGGCACUUCCGCAUUGGCUUUUAAAUCAAAAAGGGACCCCGGGAUGUGACAAUAUCUAGAGGAGAAUGCCAGUUAUUUGAUUUUGUCGAUGAUGGUGUGGUGGUGUUUUGGAAUCUAAAGCAAACAGUAGAUAGAAGCAUGCUCUACUUUCUUUUGAAAUAAGGAAAUAGGCAUCAAGUAUUGAGGAGGGUACAACGAGCGACGAUUGUUGGUCGUCGACGAUAGGUAUGACCAGCGACUUUUUCUUGAGAGAGGGAGAAGAGGUCUAGAUGGGUGAGGAAGAGGGCAGAUAGUCGGGUUAGGGCUGAGAUUAAUGGAGAUUGAUUUUUUUUUUUUUUUUUUUUAUAGAGAUGGAGUUUUCUUCUUCUUUUUUCUUUUUUUUUUUCUAUUACUGCAAGUAACCCUGUUAUCAAUAUUUAGCAACACUAUUUUUUUUUACAAUGAUCAUCCGCAUUUGAGGCUGAUCCGACAAUAAAAAAAUCGGAAGCACAGAGGCUGCUAUACUUUGUUGUGCUUUUAAAAGCACAGUAGCUAAAAGUAUAGCGGUCUUCUUUCUCUCUCUAUAUAUAAACAUACUAUCAUUAGUAGACAAAAGUUGCAACUAUUGAAUUUUUGGCCAUUGGAUCCAUCCACAACAAAUUUAUUUAAAUAAUAAAAAUUCUAAUUUUUAAUUUAUAUUAAUUAAAUAAUUUAAUUUGUAAAAAUAAAUAUAAUUUUUAAACUUCUUGCAUUAAAAAAUCACUAGUUUUGUAAUUUUGCAAAAGUGGGCCACUGUUUAAUUUUUGUAGAUCUAGCCCGAAAUUUUUCAGAUGGCCAAAAUACUCCUAUAUUUUCUCAACUUGCUCUCUUUUUCCUCCCGCUUUCUCUUACCCCUCUUUUAACACCUUGAUGUCAUUAUCGUGCUCUUCCCGCUUCUCUUACCCCUCUUUUACCACCUUGAUGUCAUUAUCGUGCUCUUCUCCUACCUCGCGUACGAGGGAAUUGAAGAUGAUUAAGUUUGACUUGCUCGUGCUUUGGCCGUGACCAUUCUCGGCGUUCUCCAGCGAGGUCGUUGCGGUAAAGAUAAAGGUGGUGCUGCUAGUAGCAUUGCUGGAGAUGGAAACAGAGGUGGCGGAGGAGAAGGGAGGUUUAGAAGCGGGUUCGUGAGUGUGGUCGCGAUGGUAAAUUGAUGGUUGUAGUAAGGAAAAAAAAAUGGCAGACAUUGCACUAUUUAAAAAAAUUGCACUAUUCGAACAUAUGUUGCACUAUUUAGCAAAAAAUUUAUACUAUUUGAUAGGUAUAUUAAACAACAAAUAGUGUAAGUAUGGCAACAUCUUCGAACAGUGUAACUUUUUAAUGAAUAGUAUAAUUUUUUAGUAAAUAGGGCAAUAUUGUGUCGUCCGUCAUAUUUUUUUUUUCUUUCACUACCAGCACCACCUCAUCGCCAUUAGCUAUGCUUCCCGCGAACAUGCUACAGAAGCAUUCUCGACCCGCGAUAGUCACCCUCCUCCUCUGCUACCUUCGUUUUUGUUUCUGAUGAAGCACUGGGCGGCCAUGACAUGACGAGCAGGUCAAGUUCGCCGUGUGUUUUUCUUGCUUUUAAGUUGCUUAAGAUGCAGGCGCAACGGAGGAGGAGUUAGUGCGGGAGGCAGAGGAAGGAGAGAUCAGAUGCUUAAAGCACAAAAAUAUUUAAGUCAAUUUUUAAAAUUUUUGACAUGAAUAUGCAAAAAAAUGAAAAAUAGCCCACUUUUGAAAAAAAUACAAAAUUACUAGAUACUAGAGUAGGGACCCGUGUGAUGCGGCGGAUAAAAAUUCUUUAGCAAAAAUUUACAGAUUAAAUAAAUAAAUAAAAAUAUAAUGAAGAGACAGAAGGACAUAACCACGUUUGAUUGGAUUUAACAAGAUGAAAAACCCAGUAAAAGCUUUUAGAAUGAAAUCAACAAAAGAAAACAAAAAAAAAGAACUAUAGAUGAAAAAAAUUUAUUAUGUAGAUAUUCUAGAGAACUAUUUGAAAUAUUAUGACGGAAGGAUAACAAAUAAUAAAGAGCAAACCGAAGAGGCUUAAUUGAUAUUUAGCUAAUCAUAUAAAGAGAUUCAUCUAUCCUAUUAUCCUUUCUAACUUAAAUCAUAUUCCUUUUAAAAGACCAUGAUUAUUGCAUUUGCCUAUGGGCAUCAAGGUUGUUAUCACAGAAUUAGUACAAAAUGUAAAGAAAACUGAAGGAAAAGUAUGAAGGAAUAUACAUUAGUCAUGCAAAAAAAAUUUUAAGUAACAAUAGUUAGUUCCAACUACCGCUAAAUUAUGAAGGCCUAAUUUUAAUACAACUAUGAGCCAACAACUUAUAUGCCAUCUUUAGUCUGUUGAUGCAACAUGACAACUUAAUCAUUGUCUAUUACUAAGGGUAAUAAGUUUACUGUCACGCCCCGAGCUCCGCCUAUUUGGUCGGAUUCGGGCAUACCGACAGACUGCCGAACGGACAGAGCUUUUCCUGUACGUUCUAGGCGUCACAAUCUAUAUAAUGCCAUACAAGAGGUUCCAACCAGGAACAGUAUUCAAACACAGAUUGCAUAAGUAUCAAAAACAUAGAAGGCUACUAUGCUAUUACAAGCAUUCAUCUCAAAGAUCUUACAUUUACAAUAUUACAUAAGCCUUUAAGUUAUUACAACUUAUACAAUUUACUACAAGUUUGUUACUUUCAUUCUGAACUCUGAGCUAGACCACUUCAGGGUAUUGCUAUCUCGGUCUCAGUGGUAGGGCGCUAUCUACGGAGCUACGCCCUGUCCUCGCGCCGCUCACGUGUAAAUCUGUACCCCCAAAAACAACACGGGGGGUGAGAACUAUAUAAAUAUAGUUUCCAGUAGGUACGGCCACCCAAGGGAAGAGCUCGACCCACCAGGUCCAAAGGAGGCACUGUAACAUAUUAGUCCAACAAAUAUUCACAAAUAAUUUAUGCAGAUAAUAUUUACAUGUAUGCCUCAAGAUAUGCAGUAUGCAAAUUAUGCAACUAUAUAAAAGUAGAUCUACUGAUCCUAUUUUCUAUCUCACUAUCCAUAGCUCAUAUUACACUAGCUUCUAAGGUUUCAUCUACCUUAAUCAAGCUAUCCACCCGACUCGGCCUCGAGUCAAUCAUCUGCGGAGUACCGCGUCAAGUCAGGCUUGAGGUGAAGGACGUCUCACAGGCACCUCAGCCUUAAGUCCACGCGACAAUAGGUCCAAUGGAGAGGAGAACCGUCGAUCCCCGUGACCCUAAGUUGCUCAAGCUUAACGGGCGAGGAGAACCAUCAAACCCGUUGAGCUCAUAUCGGGAGAGGAGAACCGUCGAUCCCGUUGAAUCACUACCGGGCAAGGAGAACCGUCAAACCUGUAGUUCUGAUUCACUUGUUUCAUGACAUGCCGGGAGAGGAGAACCAUCGAUCCCGUUGAAUCACUACCGGGAGAGAAGAACCGUCGAUCACGUAGUUCUGAUUCUAUUUUUGCCAACAGCACCAUUCCUAGGGAUUCCGGAACCCACUUUCAAAACUUAAGGGUUUAACACUUACCCUAUGUUGACGACCUUCCUAGAUCUAUACCAUUCAUUUCCUAGUGGUCCUUCUACCACUAUAAUUCAUAACUUAGUUUAAAUACACUAAGUAUCACUAUACAUCAUAACCUAGGUUCAAUCACACUAGGUUCUAUGUUAUUUCACCUAGAUCUCGACUCUAGAUUUACUUAAUCAACCUAUGUUCAAUGACACUAGGUUCAUGUCCAACCUAUGUUUAAUAACACUAGGCUCAUGUCCAACCUAUGUUUAAUAACACUAGGUUCAUGCCACUCGAUCUAUGUAUCAUCCUAGUGAUCCACGCCUAGGAUUAUAGUUUACACGAUCUCAAUGUACAAUUGCCGAAUGCUCUAAGCAACUUAGAGUUAUAAUCAACUCAUAUGACUUUAGCAUAUUCAACAUUCACAUAUCAUCUAGCAUUAAUCACAAUGCGUCCAUAUGCAUAUUCCACUGGUAGGUAACAUUAACUAAUAUAACACGAUUCAUGCAUUCAUUUUAUCAUUCAUAACCUACCACUAUAUAUAUGCAUCAAUAGAAACCAUACUUUACUUUGGCAUGGAAGCGACCUAAUCGCUUCGGUGAAACACAACCCACCUUUAGUUUAUACCGGAAUGUAAGAAAUCUGUUUCCCGCACUUAAUGGACGACCGCAAUCCUUGCGCGCGACAACUUGAGCUAUAAUGAGAUUUUCCUCGCUAGCUUGCCGUCGGCUUGUCGGAACAUCGAUCCGAGCUUUCCAACGCGUCUACUUUACUCUAAAUUAGGUUUAUACACGACCAAUUCCCCGCUGGGACUUCAAUCCUACAAAAGCGCAUUAUCGAGGUUAGGUUCUAAUUAACCUAUUACUAUGCAAACCUUCUAUGCAGAUUUUUAAGUUUUCACUAGCUUAAAUGCCCAUAGGACUCCCAAUUAGCUUAUCUUUCUUACAAUUAACUGAACCUCACUCAAUGCAUAAUCAUAGUUACCUCAAUUUGUUGCUCAAUCCGCUCUAAUAAUAAGAACUUCAAUGCUGAAAUCUGCUCCACCAAUUUGCUCCUCACAGUGCACUACAAUUUCAGCAUAGGUAAAUCUAUCGCUUACUACUCUUUUAUAGCAGCCAAUAUCACUCAAUUCAAGAACAAACAUCAGCUUACCUUAAAUUUGAUGUUCUAUCAGGUUGUUCUUAGCUUUCUAAAGCUUUCUUUUCAGCUUGGUGCAUCAUAAUCUGCACUUGUUUCACUUUCUCCUUAACUAACUUUCUUCACAGCCCUUAUAUACUCAACCUGCCAACUCUAGCAGCCAAGCAUCCCUUUGUAGAUCAUCUCUAAGGCAAUUACUUUUAUUAUAAUUGGAUAUUAAACCUAGCUUACGUGGAUUUGAAGCUUCCCCAAGGGAUUUCUUAGCUCCAAAACUUUCCUUUCAGCUCCAACAGCAAAGAAGUCCACUCCAAAAUUCUACUCCUCCAACCUCUCCUUCACAGCCACCUUAAACUUUAUAAUCAACAAUAGAGUUGCUUACAACUCUCUUUGAAGCAAUUAAUUACCACUCAAACUAGGAAUAGUAUUAACCUUACCUGAAUUUGAGGCUCCACUAAGAAACUUCUCAGCUCCAAUCUCCUCUUCUCAGCUCAAGACACCAAGAAUUUCAGCUCCACACUAGUUUCCAUCAUUGAGCUCACCUAGGGUUUCAGAGAGAUAAAGAGAAAGAAAGAGAUGAGAAAAGGUUGUGGGAGAAGGUCCCUAAUACGUGGACAUGCUCAGGUCAGCAGGGGUGAAGUGAUAAGCUCAACAAACUGCUACUUAAUCCCUCAAAAUGCUGAAACUGCAUUGCAGUCCAGCAGUUCGCAAUUCAGUCCCUGCAGAUUCGCAAUUCAGUCCCUGCACUACACCUUAGCCUGGCAGCAGCAAAUUGAGGCCUUUUUGCGCGUCUAGUUCGCUUCGAACACGUCUAAUCACUUCCAAAUUAUACUCAUGAACCUUCACAAGCUGCCAAUUUAAUUUGGAAGCAAUUAAUUUUCAUAUUAGCAUUAUUGUGAUCAAUUUGAUCACAAUUAGCUACGUAGUUAAAAUUCGACAUUUUUUACAUCCAAGCAUCUCUGAAUUUUGCCAUUAACUAUCCUCGCACUUCCAAAAUAAUUCGGAGAUACUACAAUUAACAUUCAUAUCCCACUUUGAUCGCAUAGAUCAAAGUUAGCAUCAUAAUCCGAAAAUCCCUUUUUUACAUUUCAUUUCGCGCCCAAUUUGCGCCGAAACACUCAUUUAUCUCCGGAAUUCAUUCCCACACAUCCAAAUCACUCGGGAAUGAUAUACAUUUAAUCCAAACUUCUCUUUGAUCCUUUAGAUCAAAGUUAGCACCGCAACUCAAGGUUUCCAUAUAUUACAUUUGCACAAAGUGCAGUUAGCAAAAGCUAGAAAAGAUACUUGUUAUCAAAAGCCUAGCGUUAUCAAAACAAAUACUCAAAUUGGUCAAAAGUAGUAAAAAUAUAACCACAAAUUAAUUGCUUUUAAUAUUUGAAUGUAGUGAAGAUUAAAUCAUAAAUCAGAACCCACAAAAGAUCAAGAAAAUAGAGGUAAAAAUAAAUUGUAAAAAAUACUUGUUGUCAAAAGACUCAAGUGGUGAUCAAAACAUCACGUGACAAUAGUAGGCAAGGCUAAAAAACAACAGUAGCGAAAAAAAAAGUAACAUAGUUAAUUAUUCAACAAAGGUUUAGGAUGGAAUACCCAAAUUGAUAAAAAGCAAUAAAGCAACUGGGCAAUUAGAAGCCUAACAUCAAUGCAAGAAACAACCCAUCAGUGACAUCAAAGGUAGGGAAAAAAAUGUUCAAUAAUGCCAUAAAAAAGGAAAGCAUGCCAACUACACUACUAAAAGUUUAAAGGCACACGGAAAGUAAAAAACAAAUAUGUAGAGCUCAUAUAUAGAAAACCAAGUAUACAGAAAGAAGGUUAUGUAAAAAAUAUUGGUUUCUAAUAGCCCCUCCAACACUCGCCAUCAAGGCAUGCAUCACCACAAAGGCACAAACGGGUGGAGAAGAGCAUGCAACUAUAAAAAGCUAUGGAACAAUUAGCCAAUUGAGGUCUUAAUGCCUACAUAGUCCAAACCAUGGCUCAAAAUACACAUAUAAUCAAAAGCUUCUCUAACCAUCGUGGAGCUUAUCAUCGGUGAAACACUGAACAAUUACAAAUUUCACUCAAUUAAAUAAAGUAGUAAGAUAAACAUUAAUGUAUUUUUUUUCCCUUUUUUUUUAGCUGUUUACUACAAGGCAAAAGGUAGGAAAAAAAAAAAGCAUGAACAAAGCUAACUGCCCACUUUAAAACUAAAUGUUUCAAACACAACCUAGCAAAGAAAUUAUUAAAAGGCGAUAAUGUUGGAACAUUAACAUUCUUAAAAAAAAAAAAAACAAACUUGAUACAGGAAAAAUAAGCUAAUAGCUAUGGAGAAAUACAAAAGUUGCUAUAUAAAAGGUGCAUGAUAUAUAGUUAUAGGCUUCCCAGUCCCUUAUUUUCCCGGUCCCUUAUUUCUAUGACAACUAACUCUUCUUUUAUUUUUUAUGAACCACAAUCUAAGAUGAACACUUGACCGAAAAAGAAAUUUUAAAAAGCAAAAGUAAAUCUUAAAGUGAAACCAAAAACAAAAAUAGAAGAUCAUGCAAUAAAAAUAAUAUAAACAACAAAUUAAUGUAACUAUAUUGAAACAAGCAUAGAAACAUUGGGACUAAUUUGCAAUAUUGUAAUUGCACAGGGACUAUACAUACAUUUUACCUUGAUAAAAAAUGUUCAAGGAGAUAAUUGUUCAAUCCCAGUGAAUAGCUAUCAGAAAGAAUGUUAUGACAAUAUACAGAAGGGAUCGGGACUUAGGUGAUGCUUUCAAAUCAAAACCGAGUAUUGGAUACUCCAUUACCAUUGUGUGAGUUAAAAAUUUACAAGCGUUUGCGUUAGACGAGAGUAUUAUAUAUUGAAAAACAGAGAUUUAUUAAAGGUUCUAUACUCCUUAGAAAUCAUAAAGAUUUCUAAUUAAUUACGUCUAGACAACCUUCGAUUAAGCUGGUCAAUCAUGAUAAUUAGCAAAACAAAAUGCAUUUCUUUUAUUACUCUUGUACAUCGGUGUACAAAAUUAAUACAACUGAAAAAGAGGAAAAGCAACAAUUAUCAUCUCUCUACUUCUCUCCUCUUCAAGAUAUUUCUCCAAAACAAUGUCGGCCAUGCAUCAUGCAUAAGCUUUCUUUGAUAUUUCAUCGAGCAUUUGACAUGCACACAAGUAAUGUGCAAAUUGCCUUUGACAUUUCAACGAACACUUGGCACGCGUGAUAUGCACACCAUUUUUGGCAUUUCAUCGAACGCUUAGCACGCGUACAUGAACAACGCGCUAUGCACAAAUUCUUUUUGGCACUUUGUCUAACACUUGGCGUGUGCACAUAAAUUAUCCAUUACGCACAGCUUGUUUUUGACAAAAGCCAAUUCAAAAUAGCGGCAAUCAAUAAUUUGAUUGGGGCUUUCCGUCGACGGCUAAGCGUCGAACUAAUAGUCAUCGUCGUUGUCGUCGUCUACCGCUGACGGCUAAGCGUCAAGCGAAUGAUCAUCGUCGCCACCUUUACCGUCGACGGCGAAGCGUCAAGCGGAUCAUCGUCGUCGUUGUUGUUGCCUACCGCCGAUGGCUAAGCGUCAAGUGGAUCGUCGUCGUUGUUGUUGUCGCCCACCGCCGACGGCUAAGCGUCAAGCGGAUCGUCGUCGUCGUGGUUGUCGCCUACCGCCGACGGCUAAGCGUCGAGCGGAUCGUCGUCGUUGUUGUCGUCUACCGUCGACGGCUAAGCGUCAAGCGGAUCGUCGUCGAUGUGGUCGUUGUUGUCGCCUACCGCCGACAGCUAAGCGUCGAGCGGAUCGUCGUCGUCGUUGUUGUCGUCUACCGUCGACGGCUAAGCGUCAAGCGGAUGUUCAUCGUCAUCGUCGCCUUUACCACCGACGGCUAAGCGUCAAGCGGAUCGUCGUUGUCGUCAGCGCAGCAACAGCAGGUGGAUGACCACCUCCUUGGUCGAUGAUGACGCCACACUAGCAAAAGAAAACGUGCACCACUCCGGGAUAAACGACAACAGGGCAACGGCUGUCAGCAAAGGUGUCGGAAUGGUGAUGAGCAGUCGUCUUUUCUUGGUUGACGAUGACCCGGCAUAGUAGAGGUUGAUGACGGUAUGUAUAGCCCGGUGUGCAUAGAAAGCUCGAUGUAUGGAGUGCCUUGACUAGGAGAGAAGAGAAAAAAAAAAAAUGAAAGUGAGAGGAUCUAAACCCACCUUUCUAUUGGCUCUCUUUUUUUUUUUUAAUUCAAGUUUCUUUUCUCUUUUUUCUUUUAUGAGUAGAAUCCUCUCUUUUUUUUUUUUGUUCACUUCUCUUUAUAUAGAGAGAGGGUGGUGGAAAUCUAUAGUGUAGAGAAGAGUAAAUAAUGGAGGAGUGGAGGGAAUGGUGGAGUGAUGGAGAAGUGGGAGAAAAUGGUGGAGAAGUGGAGAAAAUGAUAGAGAAGUGGAGUGGUGUAGGGAAUGGUGGAGAAGUGUGGAGAAGUGGAGAAAAUGGUGGAGAAGUGGAGUGGUGGAGGGAAUGGUGGAGAAGUGUGGAGAAGUGGAGAAAAUGGUGGAAUGAUGGAGAAGUGGGACAAGUGGAGGGAAUGGUGGAGAAGUGUGGAGAAGUGGAGAAAAUGGUGGAGAAGUAGAGUGAGUGAUGGAGAAGUGGUAGGAAUGGUGAGAAAGUAGAGGGAAUGGUGGAGAGAGUGGUAGAAAUGGACGGAAUGGUAGGAGAUAGUGGAGGAGUGAAUUUAGGGAAGUGAUCUUUUCUUUUUUUGUUUUUUUUGUUUUUUUUUUUGUUAACAACCAUCAUUACUUGAUUCAUCUCGGUCAUCCUUUUUUUCUUUGAUUCUCUUGUUAAUCACACUAUAGGUUCCAUCCUCUACAUCAAGAAAGGCAAUCCUUGUUAAUAAGUAAUAACAGUAUAGAGCAUGGACUCCCAAAGUAGUAAUAAAGAAUUAAUAACUAAUCAACUUCUUGUUAAAGUAUAUGGCUAACUAUAAAAUGAUACCCCGAGGAAACAAUGGAGUAGUUACUAAUGUUAGCUAUUAAAAAAUCAAGUUAUGGUUUCAAGUAAGGAAUUCAAUGUAAACUUGGAAUGCUUGAAAUAUUGGAGACAUAAAAAUUUGAAAUGUUUAAUUGAAAGAUUUCAUGAAAAGACAAAAUAAGGAUCCAAAAUUAAAAUUCAAAAGAAAAAAAGGAUUGAAAAAGAACAGAAAAGAAUAUACUGAUUCGUUUUAAUAAUAAUAAAGAAUAUGCAAUAUACUCCACAAUUGUAAAAUUUAUUCAUGAAAAUUUUUUAUUUAUAUAUCCCUUCUAUGGUCAGUCAAAGUUUCUUAUGAGUAAUUUAUCUUCAUUACUCAAUUUGUUCUUUAUUUGAAUAUCUACAACCUAUUUUCAAAUUCAAACUCAACCUAAAUUUGAUAAACUUUAAAUCAAAAUCACCUAAAGAUAAAUCUCUUAUCUAUUAAACUUGAAAGAUCAAGCUUAAGUUCAGUUUAUUUGUUCUAAAGCUAGCUUAAGUACAAAUAAUCAUACUCGCGAAGAAACUCAGCUCAGAAAUGACUGAUAGGAAGAGAGGGAAAAACCUUAUAUCAUAUAACCAAUUUGCUUGUGUAAUUCACAUUAUUUUUUCUUCUUUUUAUUUUUAUGGCUUUUGGAUUGCCUUCACUACCAACAUUAUCUUCCUAUUUAAUGAAAUGUAUAAUGUAAAAAGUGAAAAUGACCAUAAAAGGUGAAUUUUCCGAAUUAAUUUAUGUAAGGCCUAGAUUAUGAAUCAUUGUCCAAACACAACCAUAUUUAUGCUUUAGAAUUUUGAAACAUGCUCUACUACUAUGAUGCUUUACAAAUGACAAUGCGCCAAAACUUAACAGAGGUGUGCAAGAAACAACAAUAAAUAGAAGUACAACCGCCAAAUGAUGCAAGAAAGCUGACAAUUUCAAUAGAAAGCCAAGAAAUGAUGUUGCAUGUAUUGAGAAUAAUUAGAAAUUGGAUGAUUGAAUUAAAAACUUGCAAGCAUGACUUAGAAUAGUUCACUCUAUAAAAUAUAGAGUAAGUUGGAUUAUACAAAUCUUUCAAUUUAUAUGGUGAUAAAUACUCAAUUUAAUAAAAACAAAAGUUAAGAAAAAGGGACGUACAGUUCAGGGGACCAAUGGUUUUUUUUUUUAUAUCUUAGAAUUAAUAAUUUCCAAGAGAAUAUAGUGCGAUUGUAGGUAUGUUAAUAUUUCUACUAAAAUAUUAGGCUCCAACCUAGAUUCCACGCAAGAGAAAUCAUAUCAAACUUCAAAACAGCAGGAAUGAAAUAAGGAUCAGAACUUUGCUCCCAUUUACCUUUUAUUCGAGGAGGUUUCUCACAAAAUCGAUCUCACCAUGCAUCGCCGUGCACAUCAAAGGGGUCUUUAUAAUGAAAAGAAAUAAAUCACGCAAAAAUCAGACAUACAUUUUAACUAUUUUCUUGUCUGUUUAUGCUGAUUUACGACAUCAGGAUGAAGCAGUCGAUCCAAAACCAUUAAUAGAACGUACAGAAAUCGUAAAAAUCUCAUGAGCACACUAAUAAAAAUCACAAAAAUAUCACCAAAGAGAGAGAAAAGCGAUUAAGCGAAGCCGACCUCGACGCGCCCGUUUGUGGCAGCGACGUAGAGUGCGGAGAGGCGGUCGUGGAUGGUGGUACGGUGAAGGAGAUCGGGAUAGACGUAGAGGGAGGAGCGAACAGUGUCGAAGAAGGAUGCUCAUCACUGGAUUGGCUAAAGCCCGAGCCCUGCUGCAGUGGUUUGGCUCUCUCAUUUCCCCCCCUACUCCGGCGACAGCUCCGGCAAGGUCUUAGGUAAUGGCUCCGUCAGGGACUUUGACGAUGGCUCCAGCAAGGACUCCGGUGGUGCCGCAGAGGGGGAGGAGAUGAGGGUGCAGAGGCGGAGGUGGAGGCGGAGUAUUAGAAUGGGAAGGGCGGUGAAAGCUUGGAAAUGUAGGGUCGUUUCGGUGAAGGGUGAAAUAAGGGUGAGGGUUACGAAGAGAUGGAAGUAGAAACGAUAAGUCUUUUUGCUGUAGGGUGGGUCCCACACCAAUAAGGCUAAAUUUAAGGAAAAUAUGACACGUGGACUUUUUAAUGGAGAUUAAUAUAAGUUUAUUUAUAGAAGAUUUAUAGAUUAUAGAUACGAAGAGAUGGAAAUACGAUAGUUUUAGGUGGGUCCACACUAAUAAGCUUAAUUUAAGCAAAUUAUGAACGUGGAAUUUCGUAAUGAGGGAUUAAUGUUAGUUUAUGAUUAUAGAUUUAUAGAUAGAUUUUUUUGCACAAAGGAUUGUUUGUAUUGUUUCAGUUUAUAAUAUUUUACGUUGCUCAAUUUGUUUGCAGUGCCAUCGCCUAGCCUUGGUUCGAAUAUUAAGCAAAAAAACAAAAAGAGGGGGGGGGAGACGAGUGGUUCGGCGGCGGUUUCGGACGUUGAGCACAUCAUGCAGGACGCGAAGGGCAAGCUAUUGGAACGGCUCCGGCGCCUCCUUCCCGCUGAUCGUCCUCCUCCUCUCCUCCUCCUCUCUUCCUUUCUAUGCUCAUCAUAAACCUGCACGGGGUGCCCCAAAUGGGACGGCUGCCAUGUCACCCUCGCCGCACCGCUGGGUCGCCACGCAGAGCGCGGCGCUAAAGUGCUCGGAUUCCGACGUAACCUCCUACUUUACCUUCCUUUUUUUCUAUAAUCUUUCGCGUGAAGUUAUUUAAUUUCUAGUUAGAGACUAUUGGUUCCACCAAUUGAUCUGGAUGGUACGGUUCUUGUGAGUUUGCCCUAAGAAAUUUUUUUUAAAAUUUUUUAUUUUUUCGUGUUGAUGGGUUAGGUUAUAUACCUGGUUUGAACUUGAUGCAAUUUGAAAGAAGUUUUGCUGAAUAUUUGUAUUCUGUAGCAAGGAAGAUAGGUAUUGGGUUUUAGGAUUUAGGUUAGGCCAUUACUCAUGUAGGUUUUUGUGUUCCGUACCUACUACACGAUGUCGCCAUUCAUUCUAGCAUUUUAUGCUUAGUUGUUCUACUAUCCAUAUGCCAGUAUACUCUCUGCAGUGGGCAUUUGGCAAAAAUUUGACUUGUAUCGCCUUAUUUAUUUUGCCGCGAGGUUAAUUAGCAAUGGAUCUUAUUAGCGGGUCACUACCACGUACCCUAGUUGAAAACUGUUGUUAACAUGAUCGUGUGAAACUUUGUGUUUUGGAACAUAUUGUUUACAUAGUGGUAUUUUGCAUCCCCCCCCCCCCCGCCCCCCCCCCCCCCCCCCCCCCCCCCCCCCCCCCCCCCCCCCCCCCCCCCCCCCCCCCCCCCCCCACCCCCCCUUUGUGCAUAAUCUUGGAGUUGUUGUAUUUCAUCUUGCAUUUUACGCAUUUCUUUUUUGAGUUUUGUUGCUAUUUCAUUUGUUAACCUUGGAUUUGUCUUGGCCAAUGGUAGACAUGCUUGAUAGGCAUCCUAAACAGGAUAUUACUAUUAAUGAUGCGCAAUUGUCUGCUUCGAAGUUUUUACUACUGUUGUCAGCAUUUAAUAUAAUAUGCUUUGAAUGCCUCUUAUCGUUGACCAAUGUGUACCGACUUGGUUUAGCUUUUUGAUCAAUUUCUUUUGUUGGAAAAGCUGAUCACGACUCGACAAUAUAGGUUUCAAAGGGACAUAAUAAAUUAAAAAAAAGUUCAUUGUGAUAUUUCAAACUAUUAGUAGCUAGUGUUUAAAGCUUAAUGUAGUAGACUAUUGAAUUAAGAUGGCAUUCGGGAGUCAUUUCAAACUAUUUAGUAAUAGUAGUUGGCAAAUAAGUUUGUCACUCUCGUUAUGAUAUUUCAAACUAUUUUCUGUUGAUUAAUCUCAGAGUGCCAAAGUCAUUUAGUACUAGUGUUUAAAGCUAAUGUAGUAGACUCUUAUUAGAUACUGUGACUCUCAUAUGUUCCUUCUUUAAGUUGUAUAUUUCCUAUCAACUCUUGUACACAUUGUGUGUUUAAUUAUAUCGCUGCAUAGUCAAAAAUUUCUGCAGAAUUAUUGAUCAAAGGGGUAUAUAUCAGGGCUUGGAAUUUUAAUCAGGAUAAAUAUGCAUGUAGACAUAUUUGAUGCAACUGGUGGAGCAAAAUUGUACUAGUCUGGUUUUGUGGAUUAAUUGCUUUUGUUUCCUUGUCCCUAAAAUGAAUAAAUACGCUUUAUAUCUUAAGCAUUUCGCAUUGUGAAUUUGUUUCUCUCCAUCUCUCUUAGAAGACUAUUAGUAUUGGGAGCCACCAUCUUAAUUGCUACUAAACGAAAUGGAGAUGCAUGUAUUAAUUAUUUUUUGAGUAUGAUAAUCUGUCACUUAAAUAAUGUCUUGCUCUUGUCAAAUAAUGCUUUUUUUUAAGAUGAAAUGAUUAUCUAAUACUAGAAAAAUUUAUUUGUUUAGGUUCAGACGCAUCUAGCGCUCGUAUAUAUUCAUCCACAACCUCUUGCCCUUCAGGUAAAAUUAAACUUAUAUUAAUUAGUUUUUGUUAAAGAUGUUUGACUAAUCUUUUAUUAACUUCAGUAUUGUUUAUUUGUAGGUUCAACAUCUUAAUUGCCGAGCUUAUUAUGACUGGAUCUGAUAUGAUAUUAUUAGCCUUUUGUUUCAUUUCUUUCUUCUGGUUGAAAAGCUAGAAAUUAUUAGUACUGUGAUUUAGUGACUAAAAUACUCGUUUAAAGAUAUUGCGAUAAUACCUUGAGACAUUUUGGUAUUAAUUAGUGUAUCUACAAAACUUCUUUUAUAUGCUUUUUUGUUAUGUAAAUCAAGACGAAUAAAAUAAAGAUAUGCUUAAUGAUAAUCAUCGUAUGCAGUGAUAUUUAUUUUAAAAGUGUGAUGCAUCAGAAAAAUUUGGAUAUUUAGAAAAUGGACAGUUAUAAAGUGUCGCUGAAUUACAAAAGUGUGCUAGAUAUUAUUUGCAUUACUUUUAUGUGCUGCUAUAAAACUUAAAUAAGUGUCGGUAUAAUUAGUAGACAUUUUUUUAGGUUAUUACGACAUCUUAAAAAGUGUCACUAUACACCUAGCGACGCCACAUAUAGCAACACUUUUAAAAAAGUGUCGGUAAUUAGCCAGCAGCAUUUUUUUGAUCUAUACCGACAAUUUAAAAGUGUCGCUAAUAUACCGUUUUGUUGUAGUGAGGGUGAAAUAAGGGUGAGGGUUACGAGAGAUGGAAGUAGAACGAUAAGUUCUUUUGCUGUAGGUGGUCCCACAUAAUAGGCUAAUGUUAAGGAAAAUAUGACACGUGGACUUUUUAAUGGAGAUUAAUAUAGUAUUAUAGAAGAUUAUAGAUUAUAGAUACGAAGAGAUGAAGUAGAACGAUAAGUCUUAUGGUGGUCCACACUAAUAAAGCUGAAUUAGAAAAACAUGACACGUGGACUUUCUAAUAGGAUUAAUAUAAGUUUAUAGAUUAUAGAUUAAAGAUAGAUUUUUUGCAAAAAGGCUUUUUAUUUUUUCAUUAUAAUAUUUUAGUGCUCAAAUUUGUUGCAGGUGCGUCGCUAGUUGGGUUCGAAUAUAAGUCAAAAAAAAAAAAGGGGGUGGGGGGUGAAACAGUGGUCGCCGGCCGGGUUUCGGACGCUUGACACAUCAAUGCAGACCGCGAAGAGGCAGCUAUUGGAAACGUGCGGCGCUCCUUCCCGCUAUCGUCCUCCUCCUCACUCUUCUCCGUCCUUCUCCUUUCUCUCAGCAUCCAUCCAUAACCUAGCACGAGGUCCCCAAUGGGACGCUGCACGUGCACCUCUCGCUGCACCCUGUCACGCCACGCCAGAGAGCCGCGCGGCUAAAGUGCUCGCGUUCCGACGUAACCCCUCCCACUUUACCUUCUUUUUUCUAAAUCUUUCGCUCGAACCGUUUAUUUAAUUUCUAGUUAGAGAGUAAUGGUUCACACAAUUUGUCGUGGAUGUACGGAUUCUGUGAUCUGCUAAAAAAUUUUUUUUUAAAUUUUUUUUAUUUUUUGCAUCGGUUUGUCGUGUUAAGUUGUAUAGCUUAUUGAACUUGAAUGACAUUGAAAGAGAAGUUUUGCUGAAUAUUUGUAUUCUGUAAGCUAAUGGAUAAAGGUAUUGGUUUAGGUUUAGGGUUAGGCCCUUACUAACGUAAGGUUUUUUGUGUUCCUACCUACUAAACACAUAGUACGGCCCUUCUCUCUAGCUAUUUUAUGCGUUGUUCUACCUAAAUUCCAUAGCAGUAUCUCUUGCAGGUGGCAUUGGCAAAAUUAGAACUUGUAUCGCUAUAUUUAUUUUGCAUGCGAAGUUAAUUAGCAGAUGUCUAUAGGUCACUACACGUACCCUGUGGUUGAAAACUUUGUUAUAAAUGAUCAGUGUGAAACUUUGUGUAUUUAAACAUAUGUUACAUAGUGUAUUUGACAUUGUGACUUCAUCUUGGAAUGUUUAGGUGAGACUUGGAAAUGUAUACAAUGAAAGUUUGCUCUUAUCUCCUUCGUUUUUGAUGUUCCUCAAGGAUUUUGGUUGUGAAUUGCUUACUGCAAUCAUCAAUGCGGGCGUGAACCAUAUCAAUGAAAGGACGUAGUAUAAGUAUCAAUACAUAAGCAUUGGUGUAAGUGUUUGUCCAUAUGGUAUAUUAUUUAUAAUUAGCGAGGUGCCCAUUAAGCCUUGUUCCGCAUUUAAUGCUGCUUAUGUUGUAAGAAAAUUUUUCUGUGUUAGGUACUUAAAGCGCAACAUACGCAGCAUGGAAGAGGAGGGGCGACAAUUCAGGUAAAAGAUAGGAAGAUUUUCUAUUCUUUUCGCUUGCUAUAACCUUUGAAAAGUUGCGAAACAAUAUAGUUUCCUGUUCGGUGAAUAUUUUAGAUGAACUAGUAAUUUUGUGAUAUUGCUCAACUCCAUUAUUUCCGCUAAUCAGGGAGGUCCUUACAGUUCAAACAGGCUUUAAUAGAUUUCACAAGAACAUUGCAAAUGGUAGUGUAUUAUAAUUGUCUCUCACGCACUGCGCUUGUAUGAAAAACCAGUAUUCUUGAUGGCAAAUACUAAUCUGAGAAGACUAAUUGUCUCUGGAGAUUGGCACAUUAGCUAGUUUCGAUCUAAAGCUACAUGCCUUUGUAAGUUUGUUAAUGAGUUGCUUAUAAGACUUGAAAUAAAACAAGCUUGAGCUACAUAUUACUAGAAUGCAGUUACAAAUAUCAAUAUCCUAAUAACAUCCAGUUUGUAGAAUUGGUCAUUUAUCAUUUUGAGAAAGUUCGGCGAACAUGUUUAUCUAUUUUUUCAUCACGGUGUUGCAUUCUACCAUUUAGCAUUAAUUUACUCUCUUUUAAUUCUAGCAUUUUUUAGUUUUUGUUUUUUAUGGUUUUAUUUUAUGUUGUUUAAAUUGCUGAUUAGCAUGUUAAAGUAAUUCUUUAAUAAGAGAUCUUUUUUUUAGAUGAGCAUGUUAAAAUAAUUCAUUGAGAUCUUCUUUUUAUCUCAAAAGUAGAGAGUGUUGUAACCAAGGAACACAGUGCCGCCCCGUGCCGUGCGGCACGGGGCGUGCCGUGCCGUGCCCCUAAGAAGGAGGCACGGCACAGGGGGGGUCUCGGACCCCACCCAUGUGCCUCGGCACAUGCCCCGUGCCGCUCGAGACAAAGCGGCACGGGUGCAUGUGCCGCGGCACAGUGCCGCCCCCGUGCCACCUUUUUUUUUUAUUUUUUUUUGGCUUUUGUUUUUUUUUUUGCUUUUGCUUUUGCUUUUUUUUUUUUCUCUUUGGAUCUAUUUUUGCUGUGGGCAUCAAUCGCAUCCCUCAUAUCGACAUGGUCUAUAUGGAGAGAUAUUUGAUUAUGAUUCAUCAAUUUAUGGCACUCAGAGUGAAUCCCAAUCCAUCCCUGGACAUAGUGAAAGCUCAUACGGCGAAUCUACAUCCACUCAUGCAUAUCCACAUUAUGGUUCUUCUUUUCCAUACAAUCCAUAAUCCUUAUGAUGCUUCAGUUUAUAUGCCGCAGAUGACUGUUUCCAUUAAUCCACGAUCCAGUUGCAUAUGCAUAUUAUUCUCCACAUACAAUGACCUAUAUCGGGAAUAUAUGACUUUCUCACAAUACCAGCAAACUUAUAUCAACAUUGUCAUAUAAAUCUUGUAUCUGCAACUGACAGUAUGCCAUAAUGACAUUAAGGCGACAAUCUAUGUGGAAUUAAGCAGUCAUUUCUAUGUAAAGAUGUAUAUUUAAAUAAUUAUUAUACUUGGAAUUUUAUUAUUGUAUUUUAAUUUUUAUCUACAUCAGGUAUAAUUGUAUUUCACUUACAAAAAGCUUACAUGCAGUGGUAAUUGAUGAUAUAAUAAGGUAUAUAUACAAAUAUAAAUAAUUAUUAUUAAAUCUUUCAAAAUAAUAUUAUAAGAGUUUAUUGGAAUAAAAAAUCUGAAAAAAAUCCGUGCCAAAGCGUGCCAGUAGGAGGUCGUGCGUAUCUGUCGGCACGCAAGCGUGCCCGUGCCGUACCGUGCCAGGGCUGUAACUGCACGCACCCCGUGCACACGGCACUUUAAACCUUGCUUGUAACUAUGGUUGUCAAGUUUUGGUCUUCUGGUCAUAUGAGAGCUUAGUUAUCAAUGAUUUUUUUUUUCAUACAAGAUUUAAAUGCCAUGCUUUUGUAGGGCAUUAUGUGUUCUGGCUGUUAAUGCUUGCCCUGUGUAGCCAAGUUGAAACGGACUCAAUGCAUCGAAACAGUCUUUAAAUUUUUAUGAUAAUGGUGCGAAAUGGCAUACAUCGUCCCCUAUGAUCCAUGGACACCUGAACUGGUGGCAUCUUGAUUACUUAGUGGCUUUUUUUGCACUUUGGGAAGUAAACUUACUCAAUGUAGAGCAAAGUAUAUGGAACGUCGAGAUCUCACAAGCAAUCAGCAAGGUGUAGCAGUUCAUUGAAUGUCAAUGCCGAGGCGCGGUUUAAGAAGCUUGUGUAUAAUAACUACAACUUUAGAAUCAGAGUUGCGGAAAAUCGUGCCUUUUUUUUUUUUUUUUUUGAAAACUGCCUGGCCAUGUGACACACAGACUCGCCACAAAUACAAAGAUCCUCUGUCCACAUGGAUAGAGUUUCCCUUAUAUUUGCAAGGCGUACCAUCUUAUACAACAAGACACAGGAUCACAAUUACAAUCCACUUUCAUAACUAUUCAUAGAUAUUCAUUCACAUCCUUAUAUAUUUGAAGAACAAUUCCAUAACAACCUAUUAGUUGAAAGCUCUCCCAACUCGGAAGCUUUAUUUUCAAAUACUAGGUAAACUUCAAUUGAAAAUCUCAAAAUCCAUUUUGAAAACUGUUUCUCACACGGAAACGAUGCAUUUUAAAAACAACUACCAUAAGGGGUAGAAAACCGAACAACGAGGUACGAAAAACCAAAUGCCGCAAGUACAGAAAACUCCGAGUACACGAGUAAGCGAAAACCAAAACCACAUUGGUCCAAAUCCAUUAUUCAAGUACCAUCUAAUUGAACCAUUUAUUAUAGGGCUUUUUUUGCAAAUAGCCCCCUCACAAAUUUUUUUUUUUAAAAUAGCCCUGUCCAAAAUUUAUUUGCAAAAAUGGCCCUGGCCCUGCCACGCAAGCGCCACGUCAGCGCCACGCGGGCGGGGCUGGGGCCAAGUGUUUAAGUUGAACACGGUGAACCAUUCACCGUGUUCAAACACGGUGAAUGGUUCACCACAAGGAUGAAGGUGCCGCCCCGUGCCGUACGGCACUAGGUGUGCCGUACCGUGCCCCCAAGAAAGGGCAAUGGUAUAGGGGGGGUCUCGGACCCCCCCGGGUGCCGCGGCACAAGCCGCGUGCCGCUCGAGACAAAGCGGCACGAGGCCAUGUGCCGCGGCACUGUGCCGCGUGCCGCCCUAUUUUUUAUUUAUUUGUUUUUUUGGUUUUUUGCCUUUUUUUUUGGUUUUUUCUCUUUUUUUUUUUGUUCUUUGGGAUACAGAGCCUUCGCCCGGCCAUCUAUAUUGCCUUUUUUUCACUUUUCUUUUAUUUUUUUGACAUUGUGUUGUUUUUUUGUCAACUUUUUUUUUCUUUUUGGCUGAUGCCUUUUUUUUUUGUCUUUUGGGUUUUUCUUUUGACUUUUUCUUUUUUCUUUUGUUAAAUUAAAAAUUUAUAAUUUAACUUCUUAUUUAUCAAUAUAAAAGCAAAUUUUUAGUUGACAAAUCAGAUCCAUACCGCGGGGGCGAAGCCCCCCGCACCCCCGUCGGAUGUCAGUAGUGGGCUACGGGCUCGGGCCUGUCGGCCCGAGCCCUCCGCUUCCACGACAGACAUCCAUUUUUUCUUCGCAAAUUAUUUUGUUAAAAUUUAUCGCACCGCGAAGUUUUCGAUGAAUUAGGGGAACAAAAAUCGAUCUCCUAAACAAAUUUUGAUCAGAUAUUUUUUAAAAGAAUAAAAAAAAUGGAUGUAAUUGCGGUACUAUUCUUGUUCACUACAACAAAAACGGUCUAUAGCGACACUUUUAAAUGUAGGUACAUGUCAAAAAAGUGCUGCUAGCUAAAAUUACCGACACUUUUAAAAAGUGUUGCUAUAUGUGGGGUCGCUAGGUAUAUAGUGACAGUUAAAGAGUGUCGCUAUAACCUAAAAAAGUGCUGCUAAUUUACCAAUACUUAUUUAAGCAUUUAGCAACCGCCGAAACUCUAUCUCGUUGGCUGCGGUGGCGGAGGAGAACGACAGGAAAGGCUCUUCGUCUAGAAUUUCAGUGGAUUGAGUGAAGAGAGAAGAAAAGAUGGUAAUUGAUUUUUCUUUUUUUUUUUCUUUUCUGUUUGUAAUCGGAUCAAAUGGACUGGGUGUGGUGCGUUGAGUAGAGUAAUCUUUUAUUUUUGGUUGUAUUGGGCUUUAUAUUCAGGCAUUAGUAGAUGUUUUUUAAGUUUUAGCAUAAAUGGAACACUUAUUCAAAAGUGUCCCAAACAUGUGUCCCUAUAACCUAAUUCUGUUGUAGUGGUUGUUCUAGUUAUUAUAUACUUCCUAAUCGAAUCAAUAUAUAGAUUUUGAAACGUUUUUAGAAAAAAAUAAAAUUUUUUAUCAUUUUAUCUGUUAUAAUUUUUUAAAUUCUAAAAAAAUUUAAAACAAAAGAAUUUUCAAAUGUUACAGCAAGUAUAGUUGUAUUUUUCAAAUAAAAAAAAAUAAAAACAAAAGAAUUUUAAUUUCUAUUCUACAUCAGGUAUAGUUGUACUUUAUAUACAAAAUGCUUACAUGCAUGUUAAUUGAUGAGUAUAAUAAGUUAUACAUAGCAAAAAUUAAUAAUAAUUUGUCCAAAUCUUUCAAAAUAACAUUAUAAAAGCUUAUUGAAUCAAAAAAACUUAAAUAAAUCCGUGCCAAAGCGUGCCAGUAGGAGGUCGUGCGUAUCUAUCGGCACGCAAACGUGCUACGUGUCGGCACGCAAGCGUGCCCAUGCCGUACCGUGCCAAGGACGUAACGGCAUGCCCCCGUGCCACGGCACUUUAAACCUUGGUUCACCGUGUCCAAUGUAUCAUACACGCUCAAGUCUGGAUGUCUAUAAUACAAAGGACACGGUGAAUGGUUCACCGUGUCCAAUACGCGGUAAACUGUUUAUCGCAUUUAGACACGGUGAACCAUUCAUCGUGUCCUAUAUUAAUACCCCAACUAAGUCUGGGGUAUUUGUAUUGGACACGGUGAAUGGUUCACCGUGUCCAGACACGGUGAACCAUUCACCGUGUUCUUUUUGAACACACCCCCCGAGCUGUCUUCCUCUUCCCCCCAACUCUCUCUCUCGAUCUCUCUCUCUCUCUCUCUUUCUUGCUCUCUUUCUCUUGCUCUCUCUCUCUGGCCGACGCCGACGCCGACGCCGACGCCGCCACUGCCCUUUGUUGCCUGAGGUAGCUCCCAUACUCCAACUAAGUCUGGGGUAUUUGUAUUGGACAAGGUGAAUGGUUCACCGUGUCUGGACACGGUGAACCAUUCACCGUGUUCUUUUUUAAUACACCCCCCGAGCUGUCUUCCUCUUCCCCUCAACUCUCUCUCUCGAUCUCUCUCUCUCUCUCUCUCUCUCUCUCUCUCUCUCUCUGGCUCUCUUCCUCUUGCUCUUUCACUCUGGCUGACGCCACCGCCGCCCUUCGCCGCCGCCGCCCUUUGUUGCCCGAGGUAGCUCCCCACCCUCAUUCUCUCUCUAGCCCUAGAAACACCCCCCCAUCCUCCCACCUCUCUCUCUCUCUCUCUCUCUCUCUCUGUGUGGCCCAUCCCGCCACCGCCGGCGAUGCCGGCGCCGCCCUCACCCGUCCGAGAGCACCCCCCCACCCGGCUUCUCACUCUAACCGCUCUCUCUUCCUCUCAUUCUCACUGUGCCCCACUCCCCCCCCUCACAGUGGCUUCUCUCUGUGAGAAGCCUCUGUGAGUCUCACAGAGGCUUCUCACAGUGAGAACCCUUUGUGAGGCCUCUCACUGUGCAAACCCCCCUCACAGAGUCCUCUCACUGAUUGUUCUCGGUGUCUUUGUCACGGGUCAAUCCUUAGCUCUUAAUUGGCAAAGUAGUCGCGCCGACCGUGCUUGUACAAUGGUAAUAGUAUCUCUUACCUUCUCUUUUGUUGUAUGUUAGAAAUGUGGUAUGUCUUGAGUUUAAUAUUUUUGUACAUUUUAUUAUAUUACUUUAGAACUCUAUGUCUGGCGAUUGUGUUCCUUUCUAUAUCCAUUGGGAUGGAAAUUUUGUCGAGAACAAUAAUGUACCACGAUAUAUUGGCGGCCGUAAAGAAUUGGUUGCGGUCCGACGCAAUAUCUCAUUUCGGGAUUUAGAGAUGGAAAUAUACAAUGUUACUAAUUAUGAUCGAGUGGAAGACCGUCUACGCAUCACGGUGAAAUGUCCAAUGGGAGGCGAAUGGGAAUUAGUUAACGUAUCAAAUGACAAUACACUAUCUGGCGUGAUGAGUAUUUUUCCGUUCCAUGGAUGUAUAAAAUUAUUUGUGGAGAAAGAUGUGUCGAUGACACACGACCGUCCAAAUACCGUUUAUCGAACGGAAAUGCGUCGUAGUCGCAAUGUUCAAAGGAAUUACGUCAAUCGCGAACGAGUUCGCACAUUAAGGUAUAAAGUAAUGAUCUUUAUAAAUCUUUUUCGUGAUUUCUCAAUUAGUUUAGGUGCGCGAAAUUAAUAACUUUGUCUUGUAAGUGUUACAGAAAGUUUGGAGUCCCAUCUCUGCCAGUUAGUGCAGCAUUGCCAUCUGCUAUGAUGGAUCCGUCUCCGUUGGUUGAUCAAAAUGAGUGGUAGGUGAUUGUAUGAUUUAGUUACAUGAAAAACCAAUGUGAAUAGUUAAUCUUAUAUAUCUCUACAGGUCUACUGUCCCUCCUUAUCAAAGUGAAGGUCCAUCAUCUUAUGUUCAUGAAUGGACGGAUUGGGAAGUCAGAACCACUAUCCCUCCUUAUCAAAAUGAAGUUCCAUCAUCUAGUGUUCAUGAAUGACCGGCUUGAGAAGUAAGAAAUACUAUCCCUCUUUAUCUAGAUGCAAGUCCAGGACUAUUUAGUGUUAAUGAAUGGCCGACUUGGGAAGUAAGAAAUACUAUCCCUUCUUAUCAAAAUGAAGGUCCAUCAUCUUGUGUUCAUGAAUGGCCGGCUUGGGAAGUAAGAAAUACUAUCCUUCCUUAUCAAAAUGAAGGUCCAUCAUCUACUCAUCGUGAAUGGACCAAUCGGGACGUGACUACAACUGAUAAUGAGGAUGUAAUUCGAAAUGAUGAGGAGUUUGUUAGUGAAACUGAUGAAGAGGAUCAAGGGCGAAUUGAUGCUGAUUCUAGUGAUGACCAGGAAUUCUGUUCCCUGUUCUUUGGAUCCUAAUCAUGACGGUGGCUUAAAUUCACUCGCAUGCGCCAUUCGAGAUGAAAGUGUUGAAUGGAUUGAUAACUCAAAUGUCAACAACGAAGAUGUACCGGAUCGGGUGGAAUUCGAGGAAUGUGAAGAUCAACGACAACGGUUUCGUCUGGGUAAUGAAAUAAUUAAUCAAAGCGUUGUUGAUGCAUAUAAUGAACAAAAUAUUGAUCAGGGUCCUCCAAGUGAUGAAGCAUGGGCUAAUCGGACUUUUUCUGAUAAAUCAUCUCUAGUGAACGCUUUGGAUACUUGGCACAUUGCACAUAAUGUGCAACUUAAAGUUGUUAAGUCAAAUACAACUAGAUAUACUGUGAAAUGUGUGGUCGAUUCUUGCCCAUGAAGAUUACAUGCCGCUCAGCCGAAAGGUAGUUCAUUUUUUAAAGUAAAGACUUAUAAAGGUCCGCACACUUGUUUGGUUCCAAUUCUGAAUACAAGACAUCGAAACUGUACAUCAUCUUUCAUAUGUCAAUUUAUACUACCUAUACUGAAGGCAAGGCUUACAAUGAGAUCUAUGAAAAUUCAAGCUCGAGUUCAGAGCGAGUUACACGUUAGCAUAUCAUAUAGCAAGGCUUGGCGGGCACAUAAUAAAGCAUUACAAAUUAUAUACGGUAGUUGAGAGCAAUCAUACAGCGACCUUCCUCGAUACUUCUCUAUGUUGGAAUCAACAAAUCCAAGAACUAUUACAAAGAUUGAUUAUAUUAGUAUGGCGAGCAAUACGAGAAUGUUUUCAUGAGCCUUUUGGGCUUUUGGAUCGUCGAUUCAUGGUUGGGAGUAUUGCCGGCCAUUAUUUAGUAUCGAUGCUACCCAUUUGUAUGGAAAAUAUGAAUGCCACGCAUUAAUUGCCACAAGUGUCGAUGCCAAUGGUGGUUUAUUUCCGCUAGCUUUUGCAAUUUGUGAGGGGGAGAAUGGCUCGAAUUGGGAGUGGUUUUUAAGUUGCCUAAGAAGGUAUAUAACAAGAUCUCGAGUUAUUAUACUAAUUUCAGAUCGUUUUAAAGGCCUAGCGAACCUCGUUGCACUUGUAUUCCCACCAACUGAAGAUCAUGCUCAUCGAUGGUGUUUGCGACAUAUGAAGGCCAAUAUGAAUAUUCAUUUCAAAGCAAAACACUUAUUUAAAAUAUUUUAUCGAAUUAGGAAUGCUUCAGAAGAACGACAAUAUUACGCAUUAAAGGAAGAAUUGAAGGCUAUGGAUGAAGAAGCUUGGCUUUGGGUUGACAAUCUUCAUAACGAUAGGACAUACUGGGCUAAAGUUUUUUAUGGUGGUCGACGAUUUGGUAUUAUGACAACUAACCGAUCGGGAAGUUUAAAUGGGGUGUUGAGGGGAGUUCGCGCCUUACCAAUUACAGCUUUUGUGAUGGCAACGUUUCAUCGAGUGGUUGAAUUUUUUCUAAAACAUCGGGCGGAGGGCGCUGCAAUGUCUACGCAAUUUGUAUCGACCGUUGAAAACACCAUCAAUAGCCGGAUGAGAAUUGCCUGAGCAUAUACAGUUCGACGAUUUGGAUUUCACGAAUUCGAAAUACUUACUGGCGGUGAUGAUCGAUACCAAGUGAUUAUCAAUAGAAGCAGUUCUACAUGUUCAUGUUUGUGUUUGCAACUCACAGGAAUUCUUUGUUCACAUAUUUUGUCAUGUUGUAGUUCUUCACACAUGAACAUAGAUUAUUAUGGCUUAUGUUCUCCUUGGUAUACUGUCAUAUCCUAUUGUAAGGCUUAUGAACCGCAGUUCCACCCGGUUCUUGAUCGUCGUUAUUGGAUCGCGUUAUAUGAAUCCCCUAUACUUCUACCGCGCGGGAGAAGGAAAAAGGGACGACCCAGAUCUACGCGUAUCCGUAAUAUUAUGGACGAAGCCGCUGGGAAUAGGAGGGGCAAGUGUAGUAUCUGUAAACAGCUUGGACAUUAUAAAAGCACUUGUCCUGAAAAUCAGUAAAGAAGGACCGAGAGACGUUGUCGAUAGAUUUUUCUAUAUGAAAAUGACACUUAACGUCUUUAAUAUUUUAUGCUUACGCACUAAUAUUACAUCAUGUUGUUUCUAACUCAGAUUUAUUUUGCCAAUUGCAAAUGGACGAUCAUGACGAGCCGGGACCUAUUGAUACAUCCGUGCUGACUGAGCAGCCACGGCAUAGAUCUACUUUGAUCAGAGAGGAGGUGAAUUUUUUUUUAAACAUUUCUAAUUUACGUAGAUGUUCUUUAAUUUAUGUACUAAUUUUGAGCUGAUAUUCACAAUCAUGCAGGGUUAUUUUCCUGUUCAAUUUACGGAGCAUGGCCGUAAAAAGAACAUAUGGCAGUGCGAGCAUCCUGCGAUGUUGGACUUACUGCGACGAGCAGGAUUUUAUUACGUUUCACGAUUGCGCCGCCUACAGCUCGAUCAGUCGUUAUUGGGAGCAUUAGUCGAGAUGUGGCGGCGGAAGACGCAGAGUUUCCAUUUGCGACACGGAGAGAUGAGUAUUACAUUGAUGGACGUCGCAGUUAUUACGGGACUCUGCGUCGAUGGUGGGGUUGUGACUGGAGGGGGAUCCUAUCAGUGGGCAGAGCUCUACGGAUUACUUCUCGCGGUGGUUCUGCAGGAUAUUAGGGGUAGUGAGAUCAAGAUCGACUGGUUAUAUCAGCAUUUCCAUGAUAUCCCCUUAGAUGCACCUCCCGCUAUUGUUCGAGCUACAGCGAGAGUAUAUAUUCUAUUUGAGAUAGAAUGUAGUUUAUUUCCAAAUCCAAGCGGGAAUAGGGUGCAUUUGAAAUGGUUGCCACAUCUAGAGGAUUUUGACCUUUGUGGUGAGUUGGCAUGGGGUGCAGCCGCGCUAGCUCAUCUUUAUCGCGCCCUAGGAAAUGCUUGCAUCAGGGGGAAGGUCGAGUGUUGUUGUUUUGGGACAUUAGUUCAGGUACAAUUUGCGACACGGACCCUUACAAUACUUCUAUUUAAGUCAUGGUUUUUGUUUCCAUUUCUAACAAGAAUGUUUUAUUUGUAUAGAUCUGGGCAUGGGACCACCUGCACAUUGGCCGCCCUGAGUUAGUAGGAGCGCAGCCUGAGCUUGUCGACAUGCCACUAGGGUGUCGGUAAGUAUUUUUUCAUUUUAAGUUUUCUAUAUACUAUUUAUUCAUAACUAAUAUGAUAUAAAUGAAUCAGGUGGAAUACCAGGCUGGCUUUUCGGGACAAUGUCAGGACUACUGACAUUGAGUUUUAUCGUGAUCAGCUGGAUAAGCAGUUAGAGUCUCAGGUAAAUAAAAGUUACUCAAUCUGUCGAAUUUUGUAUUCAAUGCUAAUCUACUUCUUUUUUGGAUUGAAAUUUUGUUUUAGUUUGAAUUCUAGGAGGUCAGUAUAGUAGUUUAAGGAACAAACAAAGAGGCAACUAAUCCAAAAACUGUAGGAAGAUAUGGUUUUGACGUGAUAUGGAGCUAGUUCAAAAACUGCAUCAAGUCAACAAAAUAUGGUUUCAUGAUUAAGUGAUUUGACGUGUAUGCAACUAAUUCAAGUACUUGAGUAAUAAAGAAAUCGAAAUUCGAUUAUCAUUCCAUUUUGAAGCCGAAAACGUCCUUUUGGCCAUAUCUUCGCGUAGGCUCGACGGAUUGCCGAACCGACUUCACCAACGUGUUCGCUUUACCCUCAAUUAGGUUUGUACGCGAGCAAUUUCAAGUUAAGGUCUCAAUCCUGCAAAAGUGCAUUAUCGAGCUUAGUGAAUACACUUUACUAGUUUCAACUUCCAACUAGUUUCAACUAUUUAUGAUAACAUAGUUUCAACUUCCAACUAGUUUCAACUUCGAACUGUAUAUUAACUAGUUUCAACUUCCAACUGCCAACUGCCAACUAGUUUCAACUAGUUUCAACUUCCAACUAGUUUCAACUAUUUAUGAUUACAUAGUUUCAACUUCCAACUAAUUUCAAGUUCCAACUGCUUAUUAACUAGUUUCAACUUCCAACUGCCAAAGCCAAUAUACUAUAUAUAUAUAUAUAGCUUUUCUAGGUUUCAUAACAAACAUGGCUUAAUAAUCAAGAAACCCAUGUCAAAUCCCUCUUAGCAUCAAUACCAUCAUCCUUAACAAAAGAACAGUGUAUAANNNNNNNNNNNNNNNNNNNNNNNNNNNNNNNNNNNNNNNNNNNNNNNNNNNNNNNNNNNNNNNNNNNNNNNNNNNNNNNNNNNNNNNNNNNNNNNNNNNNUAUCACGACUUUACAAAUUGAGAGCAUCCGGAAAGUGUCGUUGUGGGAGUAGUUCUAUAAUUAUCAGCUCCCUUAUGUGUUGAGUUAGAGGUAGUUCGAUUAUUUUCGACACAUUAUGCCUGCCAAAUGAAGAGUAGUUCAAUUAUUCUCGAUUCCCCCUGAGGCUUUAGGGAGGAAGUUAAGACCGGAUCUUAGCGUCGAUCAAGGUAAUUGUGUAAUAUAUUGGUAGUUUCUUCUUGAUAACAUGAUGCAUGGAUACUAAACAAGUUGAACAAAGCAUUGGCACUUCAUAACUUUGUAAAGGCAUAGUAUAGGCAUCCUUGUACUAUUGUUAAUAAUAACCUCAUAUCUUGCUUGUUAUAUUUCCUAUAACACCUCUUUUGAACCGAAUGAAUGUAGAUAAAAACUUACUAUUAUUAUUAAUAGUAAGGCAAAGUAUAGGCAUCCUUGUAUAUCUCUUACUAUUAGUAAUAAUAGCUUCAUAUCUUGCUUGUUAUUUUCUAUAACACCUCUUUUGAACUGAGUGAAUGUAGAUUGUUACUUUUGGCGAUUGCACCAACUAGAAACUUGUUUUAAGUUCUCACCCUAUUAUUGUUGUUAUUUUGCAAAUCUAUUGCCAGUGAGGCACGCAAUCGCAAUAAGGAUGCUGUUGAGUUAGAUAGACGCCACCUGCGUCGGUCUACUGUGGAUAGGGCUGUCAAAUGAGUGAGCCGGCUAGUGUUCGACUCGCGUUCGGCUCGAUAUUCGGCUCGCUCGAACUCGACUCGAAAUUAGAUGAGUCGAGCUUGAGCCAAAAAAAAAAAAAGCUCAAAAUUUAUUUCAAGCCAAGCUUGAGUAUUACUCGGCUCACUCGAAUUAGGCUUGAAAAGCUCGAAUUAAUAUAUAUAUAGUCCGGCUACUAUACUAUCGAUAGUAUCAAGCGCUUGGUGCUAUCGAGUUUUCUGCCGUUAGUUCUACUUCUUUGACUAUUUUCACUCGUUAGAUCACAUUAUUCAACUAACCACUUACUCAACUCUCGAGGACCACUACAUUCUAAGAGCCAAAAAUCUAAUAGCAAGUGCUUAGUACUAUUAAUAGUAUAGUAGCCUAAUUAUAUUUAGAGAAAUGAUUCGGUAUUUUUUUUGAAAAAAAUUAAAAAAGAUCUUAACCGUUGAUUAAUAGAGGGUAAAAAUGUAACUUUAAUACUUAGCAGGUAAAAGAAUUAUUUUAUUCAAAGUUAGUUUGGUAAUUAAAUAAUACAAUAUUUAAAGAAACUUUUAGGGAAAACUUCAAAAACCCCCCCUGUGGUUUCACACUUUUUCAUUUUAGUACCCUGUGGUUUGAAGUGUAUCAAGUUAGUACCCUGUCGUUUCUCACUUUAUCACUUUAGUACCCUGUGGUUUAAAAUGUAUCAAGCUAGUACCCUGCGGUUUUGCACUUUAUCACUUUAGUACCCUGUGGUUUCACACUUUAUCACUUUAGUACCUUGUGAUUUAAAAAACUAUAGGGUACUAACUUGAUACAAAAUUAAAACCACAGGGUACUAAAGUGAUAAAGUGCAAAACCACAGGGUACUAACUUGAUACACUUUAAACCACAGGGUACUUAAGUGAUAAAGUGAGAAACCACGGGGUACUAACUUGAUACAUUUUAAACCACAGGGUAUUAAAGUGAAAAAAAUUGAAACCACAAGGGGGGUUUUUGAAGUUUUCCCAAACUUUUAAUUGAGGUCCUAAAUUUUUGCAUUAAUUAGCACUAAUUUAGGAAAUUAAUUGAUUAACCAAAUUUAUGCAAUUAUUAGGCAUUAAUUUAGGAAUCUACUUUAAAUGUUUUAGUGCUUCUCAAAUUAUGCAUUAAUUUAAAUUAUUAAAAUUUUAGAAAUAGUUUUAUUUCUAAAUACGAUUUAAAAAUUAAAUACUUAAAAUUUAAAAGUGAAAUUUAAAUUAGAGGAAUUUCAUAUUAUUAUUUAAAAACUAAAUUUCUACCAAGAUUUAAAAUACAGUUUAUUCGCACCAGUUUAAAACGUAAUGCNAAUAAUAACCUCAUAUCUUGCUUGUUAUAUUUCCUAUAACACCUCUUUUGAACCGAAUGAAUGUAGAUAAAAACUUACUAUUAUUAUUAAUAGUAAGGCAAAGUAUAGGCAUCCUUGUAUAUCUCUUACUAUUAGUAAUAAUAGCUUCAUAUCUUGCUUGUUAUUUUCUAUAACACCUCUUUUGAACCGAGUGAAUGUAGAUUGUUACUUUUGGUGAUUGCACCAACUAGAAACUUGUUUUAAGUUCUCACCUUAUUAUUGUUGUUAUUUUGCAAAUCUAUUGCCAGUGAGGCACGCAAUCGCAAUAAGGAUGCUGUUGAGUUAGAUAGACGCCACCUGCGUCGGUCUACUGUGGAUAGGGCUGUCAAAUGAGUGAGCCGGCUAGUGUUCGACUCGCGUUCGGCUUGAUAUUCGGCUCGCUCGAACUCGGCUCGAAUUAAUUUCAAGCCAAGCUUGAGCCUAAGAUUAGUCGAGCUCCAAAAAAAAAAAAAGCUCAAAAUUUAUUUCAAGCCAAGCUUGAGUAUUACUCGGCUCACUCGAAUUAGGCUUGAAAAGCUCGAAUUAAUAUAUAUAUAGUCCGGCUACUAUACUAUCGAUAGUAUCAAGCGCUUGGUGCUAUCGAGUUUUCUGCCGUUAGUUCUACUUNUAAAUUUUCAGCUGUUGGAUGAAGAGAUGUGAGGUUAGGAUGAUAGAGUUCUCUGGUUAGAAUGAUAGUGGUCCCUUAGGGUUGAGUGAGUAGUUGGUUGAAUAGUAUAAUUUAACGAGUGAAAAUAAUCAAAGGGAUAGAUCUAACCGUCGAAACUUAUGAGUACAAAGGGGUCCAUACUCAUAAAAGUAUAGUAGCCGAACUCUCUCUCUCUAUAUAUACAUAUAUAUAUUAGGAAAAACUUCAAAUACCACCCAUGUGGUUUUACAUUUUUUUUAUUUAAGUACCCUAUGGUUUAAAGUGUAUCAAGUUAGUACCCCAUGGUUUUAUUUUUCACUUUUUAUUAUCCCCUCCACUAAUUUUUUCAUUAAAUCAGUAAUAAAGUUAAAACUAAAAGGUGCUAAAGUGAAUAUUCGAUAAACUUAAGUGGAGUAUCUGAAGUUUUUUAUAUAUAAUUUAACGGAAUGUUAACAGAUGAGCUGACGAAAAGAGAAAAAUAAAACCAUAGAGUAUUAAAUUGGUACACUUUAAACCACACAGUACUAAAGUGAGAAAAAGAGAAACCACAGGGAUAGUAUUUGAAGUUUACCCUAUAUAUUAAGUAUUUUAGUUAUAUGUAUAUAUACAGAGUUUAGGUUAUUGGGCCAAUAACCCACAAAACCAAACCAGCAUUUAGUUUUCACUUGUUCGCAGAAUGGUUUCCUCUAAUUUUUUAAAAUUUUAUAAUAUCGUAUUCCAUGCAUUUAUUUUGUAUGUUGAACUAUUAGACAUAUUUUGUAUCAAAUUUUAGAUAAUAUUUUAUAAAUUAAACUAUAGAUUGCACAAUAUUAAAAAUUCCAAGCAGCUCAUUUAGGGCUCGAGCUCGCUCGACUCGAAGUUAGACUCGCUCGAGCUCGACUCGAAUUAAUUUCAAUUCGAGCUUGAGCUUAAAUUUAAGCUCGAAAUUAAUUUCAAGCCAAGCUUGAGCUGAGGCAAGCUCGCUCAAGCUCCACUCAUUUCCCCCCAUAAGUGCGGAGAACUAUUUUGGAACAAAGAAACAUGUACUUGUUUAUACUAUGAGAGAUGACAAAUAUUAAUUCACCUCGGUCUUGAAAUUGUUCAAAAAAAAAGAGGAUAAAGUUGAAAACUUGAAAAAGUCAAUAAUAAACAAGCUUUCACUCUGAUACUUUAUUAUACAUAAUCUUGCAUGUGAUGUAUAGAUUAUGGUAUGCUACUGCUAUAGGCAGGAAAAACACUGUCUGUUCGUGUAAUAUACUGAAUCUCCGGGUUACGAAGCUAACUUUAAUUGAAUUGAUCAAAGUGAGGCAUGAGUGUAUGUUGUGGCAUCCCCAAGUCAAUUUGGAGGCGUGGGGAUGGUUAAUGGUGUGUUUCAGAGGUGUUUAGAUGUGUUCGGCGUGAAUUGGGCGCGAGAAUUGACCCCGGAACUUGGUUGCUGCCAAAUUGCAGGAUUUGUACUGAGUACCGGUACCAACUUAGGGGAGUACCGGUACCCAGCCCCGAAAACUGACUGCAUUGUAAUAUGAAUUACAACUUUUGUGGGGGGCUUAAUUGCAAUUGUUUAAUCUUAUCUAUAACCCCAGGUCCUCCGCCAGCUGCAUACGUGCAGGAACUCCCUCUCCCACCUUCCUUCUUAUCUCUUUCACCUUCUCUCUCUAGAACCUAUUGUGAGGGGAUUUGAAAGAGAGGGUUUGUAAAGUUGGGGUUUUGGUUGUGAGGAAGUUCAAGAACAAGGCUACUCUGGUGGAGAGGAUACCUGAGGUAGGUCUCUCAUGUUUCUUUAGUAAGGUUUGUUCUAAUUACCCUAAGAAGAGAUUUCUUGGUUGUUAGAGUUUAUUUUGUCAUGGAAACCUAGAAAGAGCUAUGUAUUGUGUAUUAUAUGUGAGUUCUUGGGUUAGAUGUGAAAGUUGUAGGAGUAAAGAUACAACAUGAGUUUGAUCUCUUGUAAUCCUAAAUGAAGGAAAGUUCGACGCGUUGGGAAGCACGAAUCGGCGUUCCAACUAGCCUAUGGCAAGCUAGUGAGGAAAAACCUCAUUUUGGCUUCAUUUGUCGCGAGCGAGGAGUGUGAUCAUUCAUAAAUCGCGAGAGAUGGUUUUCUCGCAGUCCGGCAUCCCUUAGAGGUGGGUGGUGCUUUCCGAAGUCAUCAAAUGACCUAUUAUGUUUAUGUCACUUUUCUUGUGCAUACAUGUAUAUGUUUAGUUGAUAUUCAUGCAUUAUAGAGUUGAGGUUAGCUUGUGGCUAAAUGUGAACAAGUUGGUAUACUUCCAAUGUAGAAAACAUGUGGAACGAUAAGGACCAUGAGUAUAAAACCCUAUAGAUGUAUGAACUUGUAUUGGACCAUGACAAUAGAAAACAAGGUGACAUGAUGACUAGUGUGAAUAAAUAGCAUCGAGGAUUGUGAAUGCUAAACAAGGAAAAUGAACUUGUAAUUUUCGUGGCAUUAUAACUAGAUGAACUGAUUAGCAUCUAGAAUUGGAAAUGUUAAAUAUAGCAUAAAGAGCUAGUUAAAGUGUAGUAUUGUAUCCUCUAAGUGAGGAUUGGAUCGUACCCACAAGUAGUCUAAUGCUCGAGGUAGAUCGCUCCACCUUGGGCGAUGAGCUCCGGAGUUGUCAUCAACUGGGUUGGUAGUGGAAUUCUCCCUAGUAGAAGGUCCCGUCGGGUUGUAACGAAAUCCUCCCCGACAAAAGGGAUUUGGUUGGUGAGUUGAUGUUAACCAAAUGGUUAACCAAGUUAAUUGGGUAAUGGUAAUAUGAUAGCAUGCAUGCAUAAACUUCAUGAGUUAUAUAUUGUUCUUUCCAGCUUUAUACAGACAUUGUAGUAGAUAUAGUUGGUUACUAUUUGUUAUCUUUUCUUGCCUACAUAUGCCUGAGUAAACCUAGUGGAUGAGUCGCCGAGGUCGGUAGCCGAAUCCACUGAAAACUUUCAGUAGUUCUCACCCCACUAACCAUACAGGUUCUAGCGCGUGCGGGGUGGUAGAGGAUCGUGACCUGGACAGCGCUUAAUAGAUAGCGAACAUCCAUUGAGUAUAGUUGUACCUUAUACAUUUAAUCUAUUUAUAGUUAAUGAAAGAAAAAUGUAAAAUUAUUCGUUUGAGAGAUGGCAAAUGUAUAUGUUGAGAAUGUAUGUAUGUAAUAACAAUGCAAGCUUUGUAUUUGAUUUAAAAUAAUCAAGAUACAAUGUAUGAAUGUUUUAAUUAGUUUGCUUUCACUUGCUCGUGUUGCUUGCCCUCGUGCAAGCCAUAUAUAUUGAAAUUUUUUCUGGGCAUUUUCUUAUACAUGUUUGAUUGUUGUGGAGCCUUAGGCGAAAAGAGAAGGUUCUGUUCGUUCGGCGUCUGUGUACCGGUCCGAACCGACCAAAUUGGCGGUCACGGAGCGUGAUAGUUCGGCAGGCCUAUCUCUCACCUCCGAGCGGCUCUUUGAAGUGAUCCCAAGGCGUUACAACAACGACAAAAAUUUUAUUGACAAUUAAUUUUAAAGAGAUAUUCAUGAUAUUUUAUAAUUUUGAAAACUAUAUUUGAGAUCGCCAAAAAAUGUAUGGAAGACUCCCAAGUCCCUACCCACUAUUCUUUAUUUUGAAAUUGCUCUCUCAACUUUUAUUCUUUUAUUAGUUUGGUAAAGAAAUAACUGUAGAAUAAUUUAUUUUAUUCUCGUUAUUCUGCCAAAUAAAAAUAUCUUUUAGAAUAUUUUAUUCCCAUCAAAGCCGGUUAUUCUAUUUUUUUUUUGGAUAAUGUUAAUAAUUCUUUCCAUCUGGAAUACAGUUUAUUUGGAAAAUUCUAGUGAACAGUAGGGUUAAUGUGGGCCGUGCCGGUCCGGACGGCUCACAUUAGCUGGGCGGAAUAAGAUAUGAGCGGCUGCGCCAACCCGUUUCUUGGUUUCAAAUUGCAGGCGGGCCUAUGGGCGAGCGUAUUUAGCCUUAAGCCCGGCAGACCUUUACGGCCGGAAGAUGGCGUGGUCGACAGGCUGUGCUCUGGGCCGCUCUUAAAUAUUUUUUUUUUUUUGAAAAAAUAUAUAAAAUCAAUUUAAACAUUUAUUUAAUUGAUAUUUGAUUAAAUUUAAAGUUUAUAAAAAUAAUUAUAAUAUAAAUAUUUUAAAUUAAUAAUAUAUUUGUAUUAGUUUAUGUUGAAGAAAAAUUAAGAUGUUUUUGGUCAUGGACAAACUAACUAUUGCGUCAUUGGACCAACCCAGUACUCCCAGAUCUGCCUUAGGGUUCUUCUCCCAGAUGAAGCUAAACCGCACAAGACGUGGGGAUGCCGGGCCUCUGGCUGGCCGGCUGGCACGGCCAAGCGGGCACUCUUUCGCCUCGGCUUCGAACCCAGGCAUAUUGUCGGUCCUAUUGUGUCGCGGCCAUCACUUAGGUUUUUUCCGCAGCACGGCCGAAGUCCGGACCGUCGGACCGGAGGGUGCUAUGCGCCUCGUGCUAUUAACCUCGGCGUGCGGCUGUGCCGGGCCGGACAGACGUUUUCACAUGGACUUUUUUAUAAAAAACUCUAAAUUUAAAUUGCGAAUACCCACAAAUUGUUAUUUGUAAAUAACUCUCUUUCGCCACGUCGGCGCCACGUCAGAUUUCUUUUAAAGGCAGGUGGAAUCGUUAUCCGUAUUCUCUUUUUAAAGCGGUGAAUCGUUCGCAGGUUCUUAUUUUUUUGAAAGGUGCGUGAUCAUUUACCGCUUUUCCAUAGUUAUUUCUAUUUAUUUAUCUAUAUUCAUAUUAUCACCUACAAACCAAUAAAAUUUAACAAUUAAUUGAAUCUUAAAAAACCUUUAAUAUAUAUAAUGUUUAAUACUCUGAUUUAUUUUUGGCAUAGAAUCUUAUAAUAAGUAUUAUACAGAUUUAAGGUGUGGCUCUUUAUUGGAAUUUAUUAUGAUAAUUAUUAGAUUUAAAGUUGUUAAAUUAUAUGGAUUUGAUAUAAAAGAAAUAGAAAUAAGUGUUGUGAAGGCGUUAACUAUUACCGUUUCCAUUAAAAAGUAUUAAUGGUGGAAAAGCGGUGAACGAACUUUACGUUUAAAGAAGAUGGGGAGACGGUGACGAUUACCGCUUGAAAAAGAAUAUGAGUAAGCGGGAAACAUGGGGUCCCGCUUUUAAAAAUAAGGAAAACGAUCGUAACGAUCAGUUUGCUUUGUAGAACUCUGACGUUGGCGCUAGUUGGCGCGAAGAAUGGUUAGUUUACAAAUAAAUUUUUAAUAUUUAGUUUUGCAUUAACAAUUUGUUUAUUAUGAGGAGUGGUAUUUUAUAUAAAGGCUCCUUUACAUGCCUAUAAAUCUGGCAGGCUUUGAAAUUGAUUAUUACUUUUUUUCUCCUAAUGCCUCUGAACUUGACGAGUACCGUCCACUGCGUCCUGUGCUUCCGUCUAUGCGUGGAAUUGCAGGAAGUUAAUUAUUAGUUUAUAGCUUAAUUAUUAGGUAUUAAGUAUUUCCGAUGUCAAUUUACAAUAUUAUUAAUAUAUAUUGGACUAAAUUUGAAUACAAUUUAUUAUAAUUACAUAUUUAAUAUAUAUAAUAAAAUAUAUUAUAAUAUAUAUAUAUAUAUUAUAUAUAUUUAUAUAUAUAUAUAUAUAUAAUUUAAUAUAUAAAUAUUUAUAAGCUGUAAUAGUAUUCAUAGUAUUUGAAUAUAAUAUUUAGUACUGGUUAUUCUUGACAAAGUUAUAUUCAUUUUUUCAUGUAAUAAUUAUGAAAUCAACCUAUACAAACAAAAAAUUGACUAGUAUCAUUAAGAAAAUUGACGAUUUUAUGAAAUAUUUUAAUUAUUUUGCAAGUCAAAUAUGUUAUCAUAUAUUUGUUUAUUUCAAAAAGUAAGUACAAGUUUUGCCAACAAAAAAUUACUUUGUAUUUUCUCUAUUAAUAUUAAUGUUUAUAUUUAAAAGGGUAAAAAAGUGUUACCCCGGGGCGUUUGGUUCGGGUGAUGUAAUAUUACCAGUAUUCGAUAUUAUUAGUUAUCUUGGAUUCGGCGUGGAUAUCUAUGUGAUUAGAGGUUUGGUUUAUACAGUAAUGUAAUACUUAGUUACAGUGUUUAUUGAGAUAACUAUGUUUGGAUAUCAGUGUUUAUAAAAUUUGGUAAUCUGAAUAAAAGUAUAGUUUUUUCUAAUUGCACUUGGUCUUUGAUUAUUUUUUUUGUGAGAAAUGACGAAGGAUGGAAGGAGAUCGAUUUAUAUAUUACUUUGAGGGGCCCGGAGGACGACGAUUAGGAGAUUUGAUAGUGUGUCGUGGCGAGUGUUGAGAGGAGAUGAAACUAAUGAGAGAGGAGAUGAGAGAGAGAGAGCGAGAGAAAGCGGCAUGCGAGAGAGAGGGCCGGGGGAAGGCGAGAGAGAGAUGAAAAUAAUACCGUUAAUUAGAUUUGGGGUUGUUGGAGGGUAAAAUUGUCAUUUUACAUAAUAUGUAGUAUUAACGGGUUUCAGUAAUGUAAGAUACACGACCCCCCUCCCGUUAAUAUUUUCGAUGUAAUCCUGCUCGAUUUGUAAUCCUACAUUAACGAUUAGAUUACAUAGCGGAUUAACCAAACAUAGUUAUCCUGGCAGGAUUGCCUGUAAUCCUGCCAGGAUAACUCGAACCAAACGCACCCUGAAGUCAUUAUGGUUUACAUCUCUUCACUAUUAAUUUUUCUUAUCUCAAAUUUCUACAUUGACGAAAUAAUUGGAAAUCUUUAUUUCCUUUAAUUGUCCGCGACUGUACGAGAUUUACGACUCCAUUUUUAGUGUAAAAAUUAUACAUUUUCAUUUUCUAAGGAGAAAAAUUUUUAGAAAAAAAAUAUCUUUUCACGGAAAACUUUUUUUUUUAGCUUUUCUGCAUGUUCAGUUUCAAGAAAAACUAUUUUUUUUGGAAAUUUUUUUUUUCAAAUUUUCAUAGAAAACUAUUAUUUUUUCUAUUUUGUUUUCAAAAAAUAAAAAACACUAGUUUUUUAUAUAAUCUAGAUUUUUUUUUUCCAAAAAUACUAGUUUUUGCAAGAAUCAAACAGGCAAGAAACUAAAAAAGAGUUUUCCACAAAAAAACUUUUUUUCCAAAUAUUUUUUUCACAUUUUUCCUAGAAAUGUGAAAUGCGAGACUUACGAACUGUUAAAAGUAAUUGGGACAACUUUUAAGGGUUGUUUGAUUCCUCUCAAAAUUCUAAAAAAUUAUUUUUCUUUGAGAAAAAAUGUUUUCAUGAAAAACGUCCUUUCUUAGCUUUUUAUUUUUCAAAUAAUAUUUUUAAAAUUAUAAAACACUUCUCCAUGAAAUUUGAGAAUAAAAAAGAAAACCGACUUUUCUUGCAAAAUAAAUGGACGAAAAAUAUUUUUUUAGUUAAAAAAAUAUUUUAAAAUAUUUUUUUUUGGAAAACCAAACAACCCAUUAGGGCAUGGUGGCAAGAGUGGAAGGGUUAAAUGCAUAUAGGUAACUGCAAAUAUAGUGAAUUACAAAUAUAUCCCUAUAAAAUUUAAUUUUUAUAUAUUGUCCAUACAAAAGUUCUAAUAUUUUUAAAGGUUAAUUUCAUACAGGUCUCUACAAACAUGAUGAAUAGCAGAUAUAUCCCUGCAAAGUUCAACUUUCAUAAAUUAUCUCUACAAAAGCCAUAAUGUAUUCAGAUAUAUCCUUCUGGUUUGGAUCUGUUAAAGAGCUGUUAAUUUUUUAACAGUAGAAUUGUGAAAUGACUAUUUUGCCCUUGCCCUCUUCAUCUUCCUCUUCCUCUUCAUGCUGUGGGAGCGGAUGGCGGCGACGGCGGCGACGGCGACGGCGACCUUGCGGAGCUUGUCGGGGUUGCGACAAAUGAGGAUAAGGAAGAGGCGGAAGGCGAAGGCGCAGCCGAUGCCGUCGGAGACGCCCGUGACGACGGCCCACGCGGGCACUAUGACGGCGACGACGAUCAGAUCAUCAACGAUGACGACGAAGAAGAAGGAGGAAAAUGAGGAUACGAAGAAAAAAAGGAAGAAGAAGAAGCAUGAGAGGAAGAGGAAGAGGAAGAGAAGCAUAGGAAGAAGAAGAGGAAGGGGAAGAGGAAGAAGAGUAAAAAUGCCAAUUUACCUUAUUAACUUACCACUGUUAAGUAUUUUAACUAAGGUUAACUAGAUUUCUCUAACGAGUAUUAACGGCAGGGACAUAUCUGAAUACAUUAGGACUUUUGCAGGAAUAACUUAUAAAAGUUGAACUUUACAGGGAUAUAUCUGCUAUUCAUCAUGUUUGCAGGGACCUGUAUGAAAUUAACCAUAUUUUUAAAUAAGGAUAAUUGCCUAUAUACGCUUCAUACGUUUGAAAAUAUUCGAUUUACCCCUACUUUUUUUUUUUUCUUUCUAAAAUACCCCUCAUAUGUUCCACCGUUAUUCCCAAAUAUCCCCGUAAUUAUCCCCUGUUAAACUAACUCGGAUUAAACAUGGAUUAAAUGUAUACCAUAGUUAAAACCUAAUUAAAAUACCUAUUUUGCCCGUACUUUAUUAAACUAUUCUCUUAAGUUAUCAUCUCUUUCUCUCCCAACUUAGCCUCAUUACCCUCAAGCCCGGCGCCGCCGCCUCCGGCAUCCAGUCGCCACCACCGCCAACCUCGGCGCCGGCUCCUCCACCUUCACCUCUGCGCCCAAGAAGCCUCGCCUCAUUCGCACAAAAAAAAACGGCUCGCCCGAGGCUGUCUGCGUGCUAUCCGCCCGGGGCCGUUCGCAUGCCUGGAGCAAGAGGGCGCGGUGUUGUGCGCGGAGGGGUGAAAUGGCGCAGUGUUGUGCGCGGAGGGCAGCAGCGGGUUUGCGCAGUCCACGAGGCUAGUUUGGCCUCAUGGACCGAAUGCGGUGGACCUCCCUCUCAUUAUAUAUAUAUAUAUAUAUAUAUAUAAUAUUAUACUAUAUUUAUAUAUAUUAUAUAUAUAUAAUAUCUAUUAUAUAUAUAUUAGUAUUAGUAUAAAUUUAUUAUAAAAUAUAAUAUCAUAUUAUUUAUAUUUUAAUAAGAUAUUCUUAUAUAAUUUAUUUAAAAUUUGUAAUAUUUAUUAAUAUUUAAUAUAUACUCUUAUAUAUUUAAUUAUGUUUAUUAUAAUUUAAAUUAUUUAAUCAUAAUAAAUAUAAUAAAUAUAUUAGUUAUAAUUAUUAUAUACGCUAAUUUUUUAUCCCGAAUUUAAUUGGGAAAGCUAUAAUACCAUAAUCCAGUAUCCGAAUAAUUGCGAAUUUGUUCCUAUCGUAUUAUUUCAAACGAAUAAAAAUUAAAACGAAUUAUAUCGUAUCCUCGAUAUUUUUUUGCCGAAUCCGAAUUAACUAACUAACUCCACACCAAAGGUUGUUAUGCUCGAUCAUACUUAUCGUAUUUGCGUCGCCCGACUGCUUAAUAAUUAAUGAUAUUUUGAAAGCAAAUAAGAAAAGUAUCUGUCUAGAAGGGUAUAUAAUGAAAAGUUUUAGUUAUGUAUAAGGUAUAUUGAAUUGGCAAAAGGAUAUUUUCAAUAGAUAAUGCAACUGUAACAUCUCCUAACUAAUAUUAACUCGCAGGUGUAAUUAGAUAUAAGAAUUGUCUAAUAAGAAAGAUUCUCAAUAUAUUUCUAUAAGAGCGUAAAUAAGAAAACCGAAAGCUUUCAGUAUAAUAGCAAUUGCCACUGUAACCCAAAUCCUCACAUCGGAUGGAAGGUUUGUCAUUGGUUAUAUACUUUAGACUAGGAAAUACUGGCUAAGCCUUUUGCGUGGUUUGGACUCACGAGUUAAUGUUGCCUAUUGGCUCUUGGGUAGUUACAUUUUGUAAUCCCCCCCCCCCCCCGCUCCGCCCCUCCCUCAGAGCCGGUUCACACAGCUUGACAUGUGUGAGUCUCGCUGAGCCAGUCUGAUGACGGCAGCGAGACGAGUCACAUAGCCUGGGAUCUUGGCUUUGGUGGAGGACUGAUCGAGGACGUCCAGGGCCUUAAAACGGGAAGUCUGUAACCCAAUAGUCCAUAUCCGGAAUGGAAUGGGUUGUCAUGGGUUAUAUAUACUUACGACACUAUAAUCAAUAACUGGCUUAAGCAUUUGGGCGUGUUGGCUCAACAGUUUUGUUCUUAUGGAACUGGGUCGUACCAUCAUGCCCUUUUUAAUAUAUCCCUCUGAUUUAUUACCAUUAGAAAAUUAUUUAUAUUUUAAUAGCAAAUAAGUAAAAUGUCAAUUUUGACAUCAUCAAUAUAUCUCUCCAAAAGCCGCAAUAGUUAUAAUUAUGCAAAAAUGCCCUCCCAAAAAAUUUUCGGUGACCAUUUUCUUCUUCAUUUUUUUCUUUUUUAAAAUCCAACACAUUCCACUAUUGUUACAACCUCUUUUCUCACUCCUUUUUUCAUAAACUUUUUUUCUUGCGCAAAAAAAAAAAAGAAAAUUGAAUGGAAAAACAACACGUGUUUGAUAUGGGUAAAGCAACAUGCGUCGUGAAUGAAUAAAGAUGAAGAAAUUCAAGUUAUGGAUUCAAAACUAACAUAAAGGAGAGAGAGGACAAGAAAGAGGAAAAGAAAGAAAAAGAAGAGUUCUCAUUGCUAGUGUUUUGAUUAAGAGAAAAAUGUAUAAUGUAAACUACGCUUCUUCUUUGUUGCUGAGUUAGCAGAUCCUGAGAAGGCAGAAGUCGUGAUCCUUGAGGCACUGGGAAAAAGCCCUAUGUUACUACCUUCCUUUGUUUUCCACUCACGAAGCUAGGGAACUGGAUUUGGGUUAAGUAUUUAACCUAUGAUUAACUAAAUUUUUCUAACAGAUUCUAACGGUAUGAACAUAUUUGAAAACAUUAUGACUUUUACAGAAAUAACAUAUAAAAGUUGAACUUUGCAGAAAUAUAUUUGUAAUCCACUACAUUUGCAAAAAUUUAUAUGCAAUUAACCUAAUAACUAAACUGUCUCAUGCAACAAUAGUGACGGGUAUGGGACGCAAAUUGAAAUGGAGCUCACCGGUGACAAUAGGGUCUUGGAGCAGGCUGUUUUUUAAAAUAAAAUUUUAAAAAAUUUAUAAGCUGUCAAAUGAUUUUAUGAAAAUUUUAUUUGGUCUAAUAACUUUAUUUCAUCCAACUCAAUAUUAGGAUAAAAGAAUAAUUAUGAAACGGUAAAUUAUUUACCAUCUUUAAUAAAAUUUAAAAGACGUUGAAUCAUUUAUUGUCUUUUUCUUGAGAUUAUUUAUUAAUAUUUUUAAAUAUAUAACUCUUAUAUAUUAUUAAUAUAUGUUUAUUAUAAUUUAAAUAUAUUUAAUCUAUAUAUAUAAAUUAUAAUAAUAAUAUAUAUAGUAUAUAUAUUAAUUAUUAUAUAGCUGAAUUUUUUAUCCCGAAUUUUUAAUUGGUGAAUGUAUAAUACCCGUAUAAAUCACGUAUCCGAAUAAUUACCGAAUUCGUUUUCUAGCUGUAUUUUUCAACGAAUUUAAAAAUUAAAAGACGAAUUAUAUCCGUACCGAAUUUUUGCCGAAUCCGAAUUAACUAACUAUACCUCCAGUCACCAUGGUUGGUUUAGCUGCGAUCGAUCUCAUCCGUUCAUCUGCUCGCUCCCGACGUGCUUAAUUAAUUAAUUGAUAUUUGAAGGGCAAAUAAGAAAAGUAUUUGCUCUAUAGAGGGUAUAUAAGAAAAGUUAGUUAUAGUAUAAGGGUAUAUUGGAAUUGGCAAAAUGAUAAUUUUUCAAAGAUAACGGCAACUGUUAACAUCUCACUAACGGAAUUUAACUCCAGGGGUAUAUUAGAAAGAACUUGGAACAUAAGAAAGGUAUUUUCAAUAUUUGCUUUCUAAGAGGGGUAAAUAAGAAAACCGGAAACUUUUCAGGGGUAUAUAGGCAAUUGCCCCUUUUCAAUAGAGUCGUGCUACCCAUACACCCCAUUUAGAGUUGUAGAUCCUACAACUCCUUGAUCCAACGGCUGAUAUAAACUUAGUUUAAAAAAAAAAAAAACCAGUGUUAACCUCACUCCCACAUUUUAUCCCCUCACGUUUUCCCUCUUUUGCCCUAAAUUUUGGCGCCAGCGUGCUAAAGAGAGAGAGAGGCGAGCGCUGUAGCGUGAGAGAGAGAGGCGAGCGAGCGAGGCAGCGAGCUAAAGAGAGAGAGGUGAGCGAGCGAGCGACCGAGAGAGAGAGGAGAGCUCGAGCGGGAGCGGGAGCAGGGCGCGAGAGAGAGUGNGGGAUAGGCAAAAGAUAAAAGUGGCUUGGUUCGGUCCCGGAAUGGAGAAGCGUAUACCGAUAGGAGAGAACCCUCUCUCAACUUUUAGAUACUUUAUAUCUAUUUCCCUCACUGUCUAUUCCAUUCAUUUCAGUAACUGCAGCAGGGUAGGAUGAUUGAUCCGAUGGGAUAGGUGGUGCCGUCUUCUUUAUCUAGUUUUGUUUGAUGGAGUACGCGUACGUGCUAUAGAAUUGCUGGACUCCGGUAUCAAGGUAGCGGCCGGUAUUGGCCAAAGUACAUAAUAAUCCGACAUCUCCACUGCAGACAGAACUUGUUUUAGCAAUGAGUCCUGCUUUGACUGACUGAGAUUUCUUUACUGACUGCAACCUUUUUUUCUAAUCAAUUUACGGCAAAGUAGUGAUCUCUCGCUAUAGCUUGCAUUUUGAACUACUCUUGCAUCCAAAACGGACCGGAGCAUAUAAGGAGAGUCUCGUCCCUGUGUACAGGAGGAUGGUCCUAUAACUCCUCUGACCUCUCUCUUUGUGAAAACCCAAUUUCGAGAGAAUGUGACUGCUCUGAGCUAUUGAUCGCUUUUAGCCCGUUCGACGCGAUUGAAUUCCGAAGCUCUCUAGUCCGCCCCUUGUUGUCCCCUGAACGAAGGAUCGGGAUCUAGACCGUAGCCAAUGCCUGAGUCAGUAGUUCAUUGGAUCAUUAGAGAUCGGCUUCCCUUCGCUCGUUGAAACAAGGAGAGGCCACCCGAACGAAGAAGUCGCAGAAGCCGGUGGACCGGCUGGAACAAGUAGAGGGGAACCCACCCUCAGAGGGGUUUACUUCUCGCCUGAUAGGGGGAGGAGGAAUUGUUGGAAGGCCAUCGAAGAAUCGGUUUCAUCGAAGGGAUAAGCAGAUAAGAGAGGCGCAGAUAGACAAUUGAGGGAUGGAAAGCACUGCUGAAGACAACUCUUUCCAUCGCCCAAGGCGCGGGUACCAACAAGGGCACUCCCAACUCUUCUGGAGCGUGUCGCCUCGGCCAAUUCCAAUAACCUCCUUCGGAAAAAAGGUCACCUCCCCCAGGAAUUAUCAGCAUUCACCCGCUCACCCGUCCAAUCCGAAAGCAGUCCACCCCACCGGAAAGUGAACAUUGAGUCGUGUUCGGUCUGACCUACCGGGACGGAGGGGGACUUGAACCCGCACACAGAGAAAUGAAUCUCUCAUCCGUCCUCUGCAGCGGAGCAUGUUUAUACCAUAUGCUCUAUCCCUUAGAUGUAUGAAUUUCGAGCUGGGGUGGGCAAGUUGAAAUAUGGACUGAAGGAGAUAUGGUUAAGUCCAUAUUUCAUAGGUAUUUACUUAAAAAUCAACUUGGGGCGGGGAAUAAAGUGAGGUUGAAAGCUGUUGACAGACAGAACUCUUUUGCGUGCGUGAAAUUGAGGUGGGGUGCUUUCCUAUGCGGUGGUAGUUCGGUCCGCGUGGCGACCACUCCACCAAUUCGAUUCUAUCUCCCGAAUCUUCUCCAAAGCGGCUUGCCUUAUCAAUCGAGAAUGUUCGAAUGAUAAUGACAUGACUGAACCAGUGCUUGAACCCCAUACAAGGCGAGGGCUCUCGAGAUUGAAGUAGUCGAGUUGGGGUUGUGGAGGACAUGAUAAAUAUGGGAGUUGGACAUAAGAUUUAGCAGUCCCGACCACAUAAAGUUAUACAGCCACCCAGUAGUAGUUUUGCCCCAACUCCUUGCUGUCUGUAGCUCAUUCUGCUUCUCCGAACGGGGCGUGGGGAGAAAAUCGGGGUUUGAGCCCGACUUGCCGGGCCCGGGAACAGCGAUGGAACGAGAAAUCCAAUCGCCCAUUCGCCCUAAUUUUCAGAACUUCAUUCCCUCCCCUCGGCUUGGAUGGCAGUCGAUAGAUGGCUUUCCCCCUUGCCCCUAUUCCACCUGCAGACACCCGGGACAAUCAUGCUUUGGUCUUUUGUGACGGGCUCUGUUUAUCAGAACCUAAUUUCAUAUCUUUUGAUCGGCCGGAUUCCCGAUUCGCCUAUUCGGUUCGAUGUCCUUUCUCCCGCCGAUUGAGCUCUGCCUGCCAUCUCAGCUUCUAGACUUGGAAUUGUUUCCUCAACCGGGUAAACGACUGCCUUUUACCCUUUGUACUCCGUUAAAUGGAUUCUGGUUCAACUGCUUGAAAGAAUGAAUUCUUGCUUGCUGGUAGUACUGCCUCUGAUGCAGCUAACUAUGACUCUAUCCACGAUGCUACAGUUUUCUAUCCGACCUCUGCAGGCGAUGGAUCUCACUCAUCGGAAUCAGGAUCUCGUUACCGAGGUAUGGAUAUUCGAAAUGAGAAAAAAAUCAUCGGCUGGAUCAAUGGCUUGGAACAGAAGGUAUGCUGCAAGCUCUGUUGCCGGUUCGAAUAAGGGUAGUGAACAAGAGCAUCUGCUGGUUCAACUACUGCUUAUGCCGGAUCUGGCCCCUCUACCUUUUAUCUGGUGAUAGGCCUACCUUUUCGUCUACUCCUUUGCUACAGCCUUACCUACUUGAUGAGCUUCUCAAAUGUUUUAGCAUCAAAGGCAAAAGAUCAUUGAACUUUCAUUCGAGANAUCAAAUAUUUACUUUAGUACCCUUUAGUUUUAACUUUGUCACUACUUUUUUUUCCUUCGUUAAUAUUUGGUUAAAUUAUAUACAAAAAAAACUUCGGAUACCUUAUCUAGAUUUAUCGAAUAUUUACUUUAGUACCCUUUUUAAUUUUAAUUUUGCCACUGAUUUAACGAAAAAAAUUAGUGAAAUGGAGAAUAAAAAGAAAAAAAAUGAAACCACAUGGUACUAAAGUGAGAAAGUGCGAAACCACAGGGGCUAGCUCGAUACACUUUAAACCACAGGGUACUAAGUGAGAGAGUGUGAAACUACGGGGGAGGUAUUUGAAGUUUACCCAAAAUUUUAUAAUUGGCUAAAUAAUACUGUUAAAAAUUAUUUAGCCGAAUGACUUUCCUUUUCCCUAAUUCAGUGCCAUUGUGGCUAACUCUUCAAGAAGACAGUGAACGAUUCACCGCCUUCUAAAUUUUCUAAUAAAAUGGUGAAUGGUUCAUCGCCUUUAAUAAGGCGAUGAACUAUUCACAACUUUUAAGCUUUUUCCACCUACUCCAUCCUUUACUAACUAAUGAACAUAAGUGGAAUGUGAGGUAGUGGAGAUAGAAAGAAAGAUAGUUAAAUGAUUCAUGUUUUUAUAAAGACGGUGAAUCACUGUCUUUACUAUUUUUUUCCCAUCCUUCCUCACUCCACAUUUCUUUUAUAAUAAAUUUCAACAAUAAUAAAUUUUGACAAUAAUCAUAUUUUCAACAGCACGAAACUUUUGAAACAAAUUUCAACAAAGAAAAUUUGGACAACGCUUUGCAGUACGCUAGACUGAAGACUAAGGAAACCUCG
RNAcentral lists this long non-coding RNA (61645 nucleotides) under Ananas comosus (pineapple). Its description in RNAcentral is "long non-coding RNA (ACOM_LNC014856)". The record is from RNAcentral. Lineage: Eukaryota; Viridiplantae; Streptophyta; Magnoliopsida; Poales; Bromeliaceae.